AGCCGCCGGCCUUCUUCGCUGCGGCAAAUCUUGCAGGCUUCGCUGGAUCAAUUACUUGAGACCCGACUUAAAGCGUGGUAAUUUUACUGAUGAAGAAGAUGAACUCAUUAUCAAACUCCAUAGCCUCCUUGGUAACAAGUAAGUCUUCGUACGUAUGUCUUUUCUUCAUCAUUCUUAUUAUUAUUUUUCCCCCAAACCUAUAUAUAGAAGAGAAAAAAGUUUCCAGGUUUUAAUAUGGAUGAAUGGGUAUUUUAUUGAUAGGUGGUCAUUGAUAGCCGGGAGGUUACCAGGAAGAACAGACAAUGAGAUAAAGAAUUACUGGAACACACACAUAAGAAGGAAGCUUCUGAACAGAGGGAUUGAUCCUGCGACACACAGGCCACUCAAUGAGCCAGCAGUACCUGUAGCAGCCGCUCAAAGUGCUACUACUGCUGCUCCUGCUGAUGUGGCGGCAGCGGCGGCAGCAGCAGCAACAACAACAACAACAAUAUCAUUUUCGGCAGCAGCUGCAAAGGAGGAUAUAAAACGAGAGAAAAGGACAAUUGGGUUUGUUUGCAAAAAUGAGAAACAGCCGUAUCAUCAUCACAAUCAUCAUCGUCAUCGGCAGCAGCAGCAAGUGAUCGUCAAAGAAGAAGAAGUGACGUGUCCAGACUUGAACCUUGAGCUCAGAAUCAGCCCUCCAUCAUCUGCUGAUCUUCAUCAGCAGCAACCAUUGAUUAAAACUGGAGGAAGAAGCAGCAGCCUUUGUCUCGCUUGCAGCUUGGGAUUACAAAACAGUAAAGGUUGCAGUUGCAAUAAUAACAACAACAAUAAUACUAAUAGUAUGAUCAGCAGCAGUAACACUAGCAGCAGCAGCAGCAGCAGCACUUGCUACGACUUCUUAGGUUUGAAAUCUGGUGUUUUGGAUUACAGAAGCUUGGAGAUGAAAUAAAAUAAUAAUAAUAAAAAUCAUGUAGCUGAAAUUAUUAAUUAAUUAAUAUAUAUAUAUAUUUUACUUUACUUUACUUUACAAUCUUACUCUAAUUAAUUAACUUGUAUGUCUCCUUAUUGGUGUUACUUCAUAGUGUGUAGUUGCAAAUAUUAAUAAUGACUACAGGUGACACCAAUUUUUUUUUUUUUUUUGCAAUAAUUUUCUUUUUCUCCACUGUUGGAAAGAUUUCCUAUUUUUGGAAUUUUCCCCCACUGCUUUAAUUUACAAGAUAAAAGUUGGGGUUUGUCAGAUUCCCACCAGAGAGUUUCAAAGGGGGCCGUGUUAUUAUUAUUAUUAUUAAGAGGAUUGAUUAAUAAUUAAUCUAGCAUUCGAUCUCCAUUUAAAUUAUUAAUUUUGAUGAUUCAUGCAUUCAUCUUUUGUAGACUCCUUUGUCAGCUCUCCGAAGUCUCGGUCCAGAUAUCUAAAAUUAGAAUGAAUCAGUACUCAACUUUUUUUUUUUUUAUAAAGUACUGUACAAAAUAAUGGUAACUCUAUAAUAACCUAUUUGCAUGAAAUAAAAAUACUCCCAAAAUAAAGCAUGCAAUUCUUUAGUUCUUAUUUUUCUAUCUUCAACAUGGACAAAAAAAAAAAAAAGGCUAUUAUUUUGAAUUGGUUUUUAAUUAAUUAUAUAUGUUGAUUCUUUUUCUUUCCAUGUUUUGUGACUUGUAAUAUAUUUUUUUUUCUUUUUUAUGCAUCAUAUUAGUUUAUUGUUUUAGGGUUUGUCCUUUAUGAAGAAAAAAGUUAGAUUUUUCAUGGGGCAAAGGCAAUGGAUAAGCCGCGAGAGGAUGAGAAUUGAUAAUUGAGAAACGAGGAAGGUGAUGUAAAUGAAGUGGUGGGUAACCUAUCUCUUCCACUUGGUCAGUCAAUCAAUCAAAAAGCCAAAAAAAAAGCAAAAAAAAAAAAAACAGAGAGCACAAAUUGAUAUAAAAGGCGUGAAGAAACUAACCGGCUGCCUUAGCUCUAGCUAUUAAGCUAUGGUACCAUCCUUCUACCAACCCAACAUUUAAUGAUCUUUGGCCAUAUGAGCCAACCAACCAACCACGCCAAUAAUUUUAGAUUUUGGGGGAAAUUAAAUGAAAAAAGCCAAAACCCUAACUAAGUUUCUAAGCGUGCGGUAUGUACACAUCACACACUCCUAAUCCCUCCAGUUUCUAAAGCAUUUUGGAUUGGAUUAGGUUGUUUGCUACCAACUUGAGAGGUCGAUUCUCAUCAAUGGCAUCAAUUUGGUAGCAAAGAAACGGUUGGCAUCACCAUCCUCCAUGUCUUUUCACAUGAUACAGAGGGCUUCUAAUUCUCAACUUGCCAUUGAGCAAUUUCUUUUUCUUUUCUUCUUUUCAAAGCAUAUUACAAUUUAGUAACAUAUACUGUCUCUAAAACUUACAUAAUUAUAAUAUAAUUUGAGCGUUUAUCGAAAAUAACUCGAAAACUUAUGUUUCAUGCAAAAUCUAAAGAGAAUGACACUUCACAACCCUUGAGCAAAUUACAAAUAUAUAUACAAUGAAUACAAAUGAGACCUUCACAUUAAAAAUCGACUUUGACAAGCAAAAUGUAAUAAUUUAUAACAUCUCAAGUGUUAUAAAGUUCAUUGAACCCGAAAGGUAGCCGCAAUGUAUCGUACCUACAUGACAUUUACGUUUUUACGAAUUAGGUAACAAUUUUUUAAAGCCGAAUUUGAUGAUAAUUUAAUAAAUAAAAAAAAAUUAGGUAAAAAGUAAGCAUUAUACCGUAUCAAAAGGAAAUCUAUGAAUUUAACCUAACGAAAUCAACACUUACUAAGUGUAAUUAAAUGUUAGUACUCACAAUUUCUAACGAAUCUACCUUGCCAACGUAAAUAGUUGAGUUAUAGUAUAAUAUAUUGGUUCAAAUCACUAAUAAAUUCUAGAAUGUAAUUUUUGUAACAAUGGUUAAAAAUAAAAGCCAAAAAAAAAUAUUAAGAAAAAGAAAAAGGAGGUAGACCCAAUUAAGUCCAAAAUUUCUAACCACUAACAUUAACUCAAGGUCUUGUCAAUGGGGUCGAGUGUUGCAUGGCCUUUCAUUCUGGCUGUCUCCAUGAACCACCAUAUGCUCAUUAUCAUCAUAAAAAUAUAAAAUAAGAUUGGAUGUUAUACCAAACUCUAUAUUAAAAUAAUUUAAGCAUAUCAAUGAAUUGUAGAAUUGAUUAAAACAAUCGAGGAGGGAAUAGUUUCUCACAAUCAUCCAAACAAGAAAGGGAUGAACCCCCAAAAAAAAAAAAAAAACUUUGAAAAGAAAUCUCAAAACAAAAGAUAACCAAUAGCAAAAGGACAUAAAUAGUGGCUGCUUUGGAACAAAGUUCCAAAAUAAAAUGGCCAUUCCCAUACAGAAAAGGUAGUCACUUUUCACCAAUUCACCACUUUCUUUUGCUUUUUCAAAGGUGUUAGGUAGAGGCAUUAGAAACUUCCAUUGGAUUUGGAAUUUUUUUUUUUUUCCACACUUACUUUCCAAGAAAAUUACACAACAAGGCAAGCUGUUUAGUUAUAUUAAUAGUUGCUUCCAUCUUCCAUCAUCCAUCAAUGAGAUAAGAAUUGUUCCUCUACUGCCUUGAUUCUAACUCCUUCAACAUCCACAACCAACGUGUAAUCACAUGCAUUAGCCUUGACGUGGGCCAUUUGAGUUUUCUUCAUGACCCAUGAAUUAAUAUGUUCAAUUGUUAACUAAAUGCCUUGACCUGAUGAAAUAUUUUAUUCAUUUUCAUUAAAGAAUAAGAAAAUUGUUAAUUCUACCACCUUGCUUCACAUGAUUUUCAUAAUAUUUUGAGCUAUAUUUUUUUAUAUAUAUCCUCAAUUAUUUUCAUCAACAAAAUAAGUAAUGGAAGAUGGUAUCACAUGACAUGUGGAUUUUGAACUUUAAUUCAUUGGAUUUACAGUCCAAGAAGAUGGUAGGUGAACCUGAACAUAAACAAUAAAGUUGCGAAUUCCUUUCCAAUAUAAUAUACCAAAAGAACCUGAAAAAGAUUGAAAUAAGUAUUAAUUAUCGAGUUUAACUCUAUUCGUUUCUUGUGUAAAAUUUAAUUUUAUCGUGCAAUUCUUUCAUCAAUGUUUGGGAAAAAUUAUAGAAAUAGCCUAAAAUUAGGAAUAAUUUAAAAAACAAAAAGCUCACAAAUCACUAUAUGUUAGUUUAGUUGCAAAAAAAAAUGAGCGCUUCGGUCAUAAACGAUCUCAAGUAAUAUAUUGUAUUAGACAGGUGAUUAAAAGACAAUCAAUAUGUUGUUGGUUUAUCAUACAAUAUUUUCAAUGCGUCAAAUUAUACAAACGCAUUUAUGUAUGAAAUGUCAAUUUUUUUUUUUAAUACUAAACGAUAGUAUAAAUGGUAGGUGAGACAAAUCGGCCUAUCAUAGGCUAUCUAAGUAGAAUUUUUCAAAAUACUUGAAGGAUAUUUACUCAUUUUUGGCAAAAAAAAAAAGAUUUUCAAGGAAAUAAACAUGCCCGUGAUAUGAAAGUGAGAAUGGGAUGGCAGGGAUGUAAUUAUUUGACAAAAAUGAGGGCAAAUAGAAGGAGGUAGUGAAAACGUCUGUAUCUCACACGCUACCAACUCCACUCUUUUUGGGUGGUAGUUGGCAGCCGUCCGACGUAGGCCUCAUGUGCGCGGUUGCGGCGGUGGGGCCCACGUCCUGUACCUGUCUGAACAGUUGGGCCCCACUUUCCCCCCACCUUGUUAUUAUAAUUUUGAGAUAUCCAAUCCGAAGCCCUCUCUUUUCUCUUUCUUAUCUCCAACUGCAAAGAGAAUCCCCCCACCACCUUCUUCUUCUUCUUCUUUUUUUUAAUUUAAUUUUAUUUUUUUGGAAAGGAAAAGUAAUUUUCACUUCUAUUUUUGGAAAUUUAUUUCACGAGUCAAAUUUAAUUAGAGUAAAUUUCAACGGGUUUAGUUGUUGAUUUAUUUAAUUUAAUAGAUUCAACACUUGAUAGAUAAAUUAAUUUGUGGAAAAAGUAUUUAUAAAGCCCCCCUUUUAUUAUUUGAUGAAAGCAAAAUGGUUAUAAAUUCUUAUCAUAAUUCUUCUAUCAAAAAAUUCUUGAUGAUGAUGUCAUGAACCCACUAGUUGAUUGGUUGCUUCUUGUCCUUUGGAAAAAAAAUUUAUUCCAAAUUGGAAAGUAGUUUGGAUUUCUAAAAUGAAAAUGAGAGGUAUAUAUAAACAGUCCGUCUUCUUCUUUCUAUUAUUAUUAUUAUUAUUAUUUUUAAAAUUUUAAAAGAUAAAGAUUAAUGGAAGUCAAGCACAUGGCUAAUGAUUCAUUGUGCGAAGGCAAUAAUGCAGAAGGAAAGUCAAGCACAUGGCUAAAGUAAGUAUUAACUCUUUCUUCCAAGCCAAGGCUUGAAAAUAAGCUAGAGAAGCCCCUCUCUCUACAUUUCCCUAUCUCAAAGCCUAUGCAUUAUUGGAACAAUGUUAAUGGGAACAUAUCAAAAUUUGAUAUAGAAACUAAAAAAUCAUUUCAUAUUCGAAGUUUAGUAACAACUCAACCCUUACGAAAUGACUUAUGGGUAUAUUAGGUAAGACUGAUUAGGCUGAUUAAGAACGACAAAAGAAAAAAAAAAAAGAUAAUUACAUUAAUUAAUUCUAAGUAUGCUUUUAAAUUUUUUCCACCGAAAAAGAAAAAUUCUACAUAUAUACGUAUGCGAGGGGAAUAGAUGUGCAGUUAUUUAUCACUUGUAAAUAUUUUUCAAAACACACUAUAUAUAAAAGUUUUGUUAAAUUACAAUCAAUAUAACUUACAGCUUUUUAAACAUGACAGUGAAUCUCAUCUCAUUUUCACGUCAUAAACCUUUGCAAGUUUUGCAAAGGUUGUAAGUUACAUUAAUUGUAACUUAGUAAAAUCCUCUCUCUCUCUCUCUCUACACACAUAUAUAUAUAUAUAUAUAUAUAUAUAUAUAUAUAUGCAAGUUUUGCAAAGGUUGUAAGUUACAUUAAUUGUAACUUAGUAAAAUCCUCUCUCUCUCUCUCUCUACACACAUAUAUAUAUAUAUAUAUAUAUAAAUAUAUAUAUAGCAAAAGAGUAGCUGGUGGCAGCGAGUUUGACAAAGUUUGGUGAGAUAUGAACAGGCAUUACACUUACAUGCAUGGAAAAAAAACAUAAUGUCAGUCAUACAUAGUGAUAAAAUUAUAAAUAAAACAGAUACUAAAUGAAGUAGGGCUAGCCUUGGAGGGCAGAGAUAAGCAUCAAGAUUCAAGAACAAAGAAGCAGCAUGCGGAUAAGGUGACUGAAUGACAUUGUGUGGCUGAGACCAAUCAAAGUUGAUCCAGUUAGGUGGGUUUCGAUCGUUUGAUUGAUGUUGAUAGAUUCCAGAGUCACCAUAUUCAUUCAGUCAAGCUUCAAUUCCGUCUCUUUCAGUAUUUCCACAAUUUCUUGUUAAAUUAUUGGACCCCCACCCCCCAAGGCCCUAAUCACUCUCACUUCUGUCAUACAGAAAUUAAUUUAUCUCCCCCCACCUGCCCUACAUCUUCAACCACAUUAUAUUUUUAUUUUAUUUUAUUUCCUUAAGAUACAUGUACGCACGUACGAAUAUUCCUUUUUUUGUUAGUAAAUACUAGCCAGCUAUAGAAAUUCAAAAUUGAAAAAAAAAUUCUCAAUAAUAGAGGUUGAAUAUGAAUUGUGUAUUAAUUUUGAUGACGUUAGGGUUUGAUAAAGUACAUUAUAAAUAAAUCAAAACAUAAUAGCAAUGUAGGCCAUUGGUAUCAGCAUAUACAUUAAAGUAAGAUUACUAAUAAAAUAGGCAGUUGGUAUCAGCAUGUAUUAAUUUAAAGUAAGAUAUAAUUAUUGAUUUUUUCUUAUUAAUAAAAGAAUAAAAUGACCCUGUGUACUUUAAUAACCUGAGCAGCUCAGGGUAUACAAUAUCUAUAUGUAUAAAGAGAGGGGGAAAAAAAAUAGAAAUCUCAACAAUACAGUUGAAAAUACGGAUUAUAUAUAUAUAUAUAUUAAAUUAAGUGACGUUUGCGUUUGGUUAAUACAUGAUAUUUAAAAGAAAAACAAAUAAAAAUUAUAUGUAUAUGUAUGGAUUUGCUUGAUCAACAUAUUAAAAUGAGUGUAUGCACAUUUGUAUUUUCAUAACCCAAGUAGGUAUACCAUUUUUAUAUGUAUAGCAAAAAAAUAAUAAUAAUAGAAAUAUCAACAAUACACGUCGACUAUAUGUAAAUUGCAUUUUUAUAUUAAUUUUGAUGAUGUUAGGGUUUGAUUAUUGCGGUCUAUAAAACAGAUUUAGAAUUAAAUAAUAUAAAGCUUACCGUAUAUCUUAUAUAUUAUAAGUCAAAAUUAUGGGGUUUUUUUUUUCCUUUUAAUUAAUAAAGAAUGAAAAGAGCGUAUGCACACGCAUGUGACUAAAUUUCAUGAUCUAAGCAUAUUAUGAACUCACACCUAAAUGCAACAAUUGAUGUUGAGAUUGAUAAUUACUGAUGAUAGCAACCCUGUGCGUGAUAUUGAAUCUAAACCCUUUGAUGUAGUUGAUUAAUUAUCAUUAAAAUAUAUGAGUCAACUAGAGUGAAACAUAGUGUCACAUUAUGUAGAUAUUUUCAUUUCAUUAUCAAGAGAAAGUUAGUAAGAUUUUUCUUCACCCGCAUUUAAAAUUAAAAAUAAAAAUAUGCAUAUGGACUUCACUCAAAAGUUAAAUAAAAGAAGUAUAACAUACAUCUAGCUAUAUAGAAUACUCCUCAUGUCCUCCACUAAUUAGAACCCUAAUUUAAAUUAUUAAAAAAAAAAAAAAAAAAAAAAAAAAAAAAAAAAAAAAAAAAAAAAAAAAAAAAAAAAAAAAAAAAAAAAAAAAAAAAAAAAAAAAAAAAAAAAAAAAAAAAAAAAAAAAAAAAAAAAAAAAAAAAAAAAAAAAAAAAAAAAAAAAAAAAAAAAAACCUCCCAUCAGUGGAGGCAAUUAAUUAGUGUUUGCAUGCAUAUCGAAAAGUAGGAAAAUUUGGCAAAGUCAAUAAGCUAAUCAUAUCUCCUCUUCGUUUCUAGAAUAUUUUAUAACAAAAAAAAAAAAUUACAAGUAAUGAUGAUGUAGAAGAAGACCUCACAUCGAAUGACUACUUUUGUUCCAAUUUCUAUAUGGGUUCAAAAAGCAACUGAAUAAUGACAAAAUUAAGGUUAUCUUGGAAGAUUGAUCAUGUUUAAAGUAUGUCAAUUACUGGUUAAUAUAUUGCUAUUAAAAAUAUACACGGGCGGGCAUUGCAUUUUCUUUCGAGCUUCGGAAACGAAAUGUUAGAACCUAAGGCUUUAGUGGAGUUUAUGGGUCAGAAAUCGAAAUGAUUUGAUGGCCCAUGGCGAACUGCCAAUUUUUCCAUUUUAAUUAUGUCAAAUCUCAAAUAUGCUUCGAAGAUUAUUUUGGAGAAGGAAUUCUGUAAUAAAAAAAAUUGACGUUCACCAUGAAUAAUAGUGAAUUGGUGCUUGAUAAUGUAAAAAAAUAAAAUAAAAUAAUAAUUAUGUGAUGAUUUUUAGUUUUUACUUCCGAACCAAAAGGACUACUCAAAAGUCUGAAGUACGUGGCAGUGAAAGUCUUGCAUACUGAUACUGAUAAUAUUAUGUAUUGCAUAAUGAUGGUGAGCUGCCACCGCCGCCACCGCAGCUACCAGAAGGCUGUGAGAACCACCAUUCCCAUGAUGCGUCGGCUGGCUCAGGAUCAAGCAAACUCCCCUCUACCCAAUUUGAGCUAUCCAAAUCCAUUAUCAGGGCCUAAAGCUCAUGUUUGCAUGUACAUUUUCUCUUCACUGCCAUUAGGUCUACUAUGUUUAAAUCCAUACAACUAUAGCAUAGCCAAGGGAGUAUUUUGAGUGUAGCUCAGAUAUCUGUGUUUAUUCUGUUGAAAGUGUAAAUCUAUAUAAUUAUAGUGUAGUUGGGGGUUUAUAUAUAUAAUGUGUCAUAGGAGUUUAAAUUUUUUACAGGUAGAGUAUAAAGGAGCUCUCUGAGUAUAGCUCACAAGUCUGAACCCGACUCAUGCAAGAGUGGUAAAGUUCUAUACAAUGACUCAAAACUCAUUCCUUCCAUAGUAGGUAAGAGAGUCUCCAUAGCCUAGGUCAGAAUCAUCCUGACUAAUGAUUUUGUUAUUGGAUUUAUGUAUGUGUGUAUGUAGUAUAGGCAAGGUCCAGGCCCAUGAUGGCUUUCCUUGGUUUUCACUUUCUAAUUCACUACAAAAUGUUCACAUUCUGUAUGGAACAUUAUAACCUUAGGACUCUCUACUAUCCCAAACUUUGUUCUUCAGAGCUAAUCAUAGGAUUCAACAACUCACAUUUGCAACUUUGUAUCCAAAUCCUUCAAUGAGAUACAACAUACAAAUUCAUACGUUUCCACAGUCAUUUAAUCUCAUAAUCAAGGAAUACAUAUAAGCCUACAAUGGUAUGCAAUUUCAGGUUCAAAAGCUAAAAGAAAGACUGGUAAAACUUUUAAUAACAUAGAAGUACAAUUGGCAAAACAAUAGCGUGCCAACUUAAAAGCAGCUUUUUUGUAAGAGAAAUUUGAACACGUCCACAUCCUAAGAAGUCACCGAUUUAUUGAAUCAAUAACUCUAGGUUUCUUUUGGAGGGGCCUUCUUUGCAGCCUCUGCAGCAGCCUUCUCUGCUUCAAUCUCAGAGACAAUGGCAUCGAUUUCUGCCUCUUCAAGUUGCCGGAGACCAUGCUCUCUCGUCAUCACAGCAACUUCAAUGUUCUUGCCUCCACUCUCAACAACCUAAUAGUACAAUCAACAAAUGUCAAAUAUUAUACAGGCGAAAGAGAGAUUAUAGCAGUUUGUACAUUUGAAAAAAAAAAAAACAACCCAACUGCAUGAAACAGCCGAAAGCAAAUCUACCCACUUCCAGCACCACCAACCAAAAUAUUAUUUGUUCCAGACUCAAGUGGCUUCUUCAAUCCCUGAAUAUAGUUGACAAUCAUACUUGCCAAUCCACAUAAGCUGCAAGCCUGGUUACUGAUUCCUGCAUAUUUCUAGGUCAAGACUUUUUUCUUGAUCUUUAGGGUCAGAGACAUCUCUAAGAUGGAAUUUGGCAGGCUAUGCCUCCUUCAAUUUCUUCUUUUCGGUUAGAUUUAUUAAUUGAUUUUCAUGUUCAAUCUUUCUCUUAACAUAGAGUCCUCUUCCACCUAUUACUCCAAUCAUUCAGUUUCCCUAAAAUAUUUAAAUAGAAGCCAAAAUAUAGAAAGGAGAAAAGUUACAUGUGUGAUGUGAAUACCCGCCUCUUUACACUUGAUCAUGUUAUGUAAAGAUGAUGUAUGUGAAAACAAGGAAUGAUGAUGAAAGAGUUCAUCAAACAAAAUACAAGUUAUGAACAAUGAAACAUUCAGUUACAAAUGAAAAUCAUGACAAGAGACCCCAAUAAUUCAGUUACCAGUUAAGCCGGUGUGUCACGAAUAUCUUAAAGGUUCUACAAAUGCUUGGCUUAUCAAACAUCUAACAAGCUGAAAACUUACUUAACAAUAAUCUGAUACCGUAUCCUAUAUCAAAAGCCAAUUUUAUUUAUUACACAAUAUCAAAAUUGAAGUCAAACUACACUGAAAUAUAAAGGCCAAGUAAGUUAGGUUUUGAAAACCCUACUUAAAGAGAAUCUCAUAUUUACUAACACAGAAAAGUGCCAUUAGAUAAGACUAGUUUCAUAUUAGACUUACGAAGCCAAGGUUAGACACAAGCACAUGCGAAAAUUAGCAACUUACUUCAAGCAAAGCACGAAUGGCCAACUUCACAGUUUCUUGCCCAGAGGUUUCUUUAUAAUUUUUCUCCAAGAACUCCCUUAUUGAAUUUGAGUUCCUCCCCGUGGCAUUGGCUUUCCAUGCUGAAAAAGUUCCCGAUGGAUCAGUCUGAUAAAGAGACGGCACACCUGUAUAGGGGUCAAAACCAACAAUCAAGGUCGAAAGACCAAAAGGCCUCACCCCACCACUCUGUGUAUACUUCUGCUGAAGCCCAGCAAUGUACCGCGUUAUAUAUUCAACUGUGACAGGAUCCUCUACAGUAAGCCUAUGACUCUGACAUUCAAUACGCGCUCUGUUAACCAAGACACGUGCAUCCGCUUUCAGACCCGCACAGGCAAGCGCAAUGUGAUUAUCCAAUGACACAAUCUUCCUCACCAUUCUGUAAGCAAAAGCAAUAAUCAAGCAGAAGCUAAGGAGGCACACAAAUUACAAUCUUAUACUGAUUAUUGCCCCAACUAUAAGCUAAUCAGCUAUUUUCAUCAAAACUAAUACUAAAACAAAUCACUAUACAUUCAAAAUCCGAAACUUAACCCUACAGAAUCAAUUCGCGCUCAAAUAUAACCUAAACAUAAUUAAUUACGCGAAUGUAUGUUUUCUACCUGGAGUCUUGGAGCUUGACCGCUGAUUUUUUCUCGACGCCGAGGACGACAAUGUCGGUGCCGCGGACCCCAACGGCGGCGUUUCCUUUACGGACGGCUUCGAGCGCGUAUUCGACUUGGAAUAGAUGGCCGUCCGGAGAAAAGACCGUGAUCGCGCGAUCGUAUCGAGCCAUUUUGUCUUCCUUUUUUCGGUCUCGAGUUUGUUUUUUAUUUGAAUUUGAUUUUGUUUUUUUUUUUGAAAGCCUGCGAUCUGGGGUUUUGAGAAAGAGAGUCUACAAGCAGUUAGUAAAGCUUCUUGGAGGGCAAGCCAACCCAGUGGACUGAUGCAAAAGAAAACCGAUUGGAUACGACACAGUUUUCGCAUGCUGCUUCGUAACGAUGUCGUUUUGUCUAACAUCUCCUUUUUAUUCUUAAUUUUAUCACCCAGGGUCAAUUAUUAUUUAUUAUUUAUAAUUUUUCCGCUCCCUCCUUCCCUCAUUUCUUGCUUAAGAGCAAAAUUUGAUUUACAAGAUUGAUCGCUUAAUUAUUAAUUCAUUAUAACGUAAUUUAAUAUCCAAGAUCAUGUUAUAAACGAGAGAUUUCGAAGUCUUAUGUUUGAAUCCUGAUAUUUAUACAUUAAAGUGUUCUAAAAAUUAAUUUGAUCGCUUAUGUUGAUCUUUUUAUUUGUUGCAUUAAUAAAGUUAAAUAUGUUUCCAGUGUAUUUAUUAUAGAUGUGUGUUAUGAAAUUAAUUAUUUAUUUAUAUAAUUUUAUUCAAUCAUCCGUAUUUAUAUUAUUAUUAUUAUUACUUGUUUUUGUUUAUUUUGUUUAACAUAAAAUUAAUCAUCAAGAAAUUUGAGACCCACCCCUCUGAUGAGCAGAGUUUAAAACCUGUAUGAAUGUACAUUGACAACUCAUGCGCCCAAUAACCUUGGGUGUAUGAGUUCCCUUCUAAUAGAGAUUUAUUUGUCUCUCUGUCUUGGUGUAUAAUAUAUUUCUCUUUAGUAUUAAAUGAGGGUUGUUUUUCGGAUUAUGCAAUACUAGAAUUAUGAAGGAGGGUCCCGAUUAUUUUCUGAUUGUAAAUAUAAUAAAGUUCUUAUUGUAAUAUAUUAAUAUUAAAAAAAAAACCGUAUGAAUACCUUGUCAGGUUGACUAGGUAGAGCAGGCAAAUUUCAGAUUAUUGACCCUUUGCUUUGUAGUUGACUCGGAGUCAACUAAAAUCGAGGCUCCAUUCGGUGACCGAAAAUGAUAAUGGUGUCCCAUUGCACUUUGCAAUUUGCACGUAUUUCAACUGAACUUUUGCUCGAAUGCUUCAGCACUAUUGCAUCCUAUCAAAGCAACAAAUUAAAGGACACUAGAACAAAAAGAAUUAAAAAAAAAAUCAAUAAAUUAUUAGCUCCACUGAUAAUGGAGUCUCUUUAACCUUAAGUGGCUUGAUUGAGUUUGCUCCUCAGUUCGAGUCGUAGGAAAGUCGUCUUUGUUCGGAGAACUUGUGCCUCCCGGUUCGAGCGAGGACUUCUAAUCUGAGUUGUGGUAUAGACUUAGGUAGCGUUUACUUUUUGGAUUGGAUUGGGAAUCCUGAGGAGUGGGAAUUCUAGGAUUGGGAGUGUGGAGUGGGAGUUGGAGUAAGUUGUUUACUUACACUGGAAUUGAAGCAUGGAAUAGAGAUCAGAAUCCAAUAUAUGUGUUUACUUUGUCUUGGAUUGGGAGUAAAUUGUUUCAAAUUACAAUUUUAUCCUUAUUUAAAUAAUUAUAGUUUUUAAUUACAAAACUAAUAAAAAAUAUAUUUAAUGAAUAAUAUUUAUUUUAUUAUAUUUGUAAAUUUAUUAUAAUUAUUAAUAUUCUUAAUUAUGAACAAUAACUGCUGUACGGCCAAGGCGGAUGUACGGUACAGCAGUAGUUUGAGCCCAAAAACUAGCCGUUAUGUGUUUUCAGAUGACAACCGGCUUGCUGCUUUUGGAAUCUGGUUAGCCGCUUUUAUGUUACCGUUACAAUAAAAAUUUGAAUUUCAAAACAUCCGGCAUGCCGCUUACGAUAUCUGGAUAGCCGCUUAUGCUCCAGAAGCUUACUGCCCAAAAUUUGGAUUGCCGCUUACCAUAUCCAGUUAGCCGCUUGCUACAGUGAAAUAUUUUCUAAAAUUAUAGUUUGACCCCAAAACUUUAUAAAACUGUAUUAUGGCCCAAAACGUUAUGAAAGCUUUCAAAGAGGUCUAAUUUUAGAAUUUCUAAAUAAUACUUUGUCAAUCCCAAAAUUUUUGAAAUUAUGAUUUCACCCAAACUAUAUGAAAUUAUAGAAUGACCUAAAAUAUUUAAAUAUUUUUAAAUAGGCCCAAAUCCAAAAUUUUAAAACAAUAUCAAAGGUUUUAAAAUACUUUCAUUUUAGUCCAAAACAUUUUAAUUCCAUAACAUCAUUUUUUUAUUAGCCGUACAGCAGUAUUAUAUAAAAUAAUAAUAUAAUAUUAUUUAGUACAAAAUUAAUAUUUGCUUAGAAUAAACUAUUUAUUAAUAUUAAAUAAAUAUAGUACUAUUAUUUUUAAAAUAAAUAUAAUAUUAUUAUAUUUAUUAAUUCUCAAUUAAUAUAAUAAUAUUAUUUUAAAAUAAUUUUAACUUAGAAUCAAUGUAAAUUAUUAUUUAGUUAAAUAUAAUAUUAUUAUUCAAAUAAAUAUAAUAAUAAUAUUUAAAUAAAUAUAAUAAUAUUUAUUUUAUUAAUUAUAAAAUAUUAAAUUAAAUUAAAUUAAAAAAAUAAAAGGGUAAAAAAGGGAGAGGUGGGAGUGGAUUCCCACUCCCACUCCCCACUCCAAAAAUGGGUGGGGCCCACGGAGUGGGAUUCCCACUCCCUUCCUAUUUAGAGGAAGUAAACGCUGGAGUGGGAGGAAUCCACACUCCUCACUCCCACUCCAGCAAAUAAACACAGCAUUAAAAGUGUCUUCUACAGUUGGGACCCUCCCCAAAAUAUCUCGUAGUUAAGACAAAAAAAAAGAAUUAAAAAAAAAUCAACAAAAUUAUCAAGUACAUGGAUUGUGCAUUGUGGGCUGUGUUUCAAUGAGAUAAUGCCACAUCUUCGGGUUCUGCUGAUUGUGGUGAUAAGAGUCAUCAUCGACUAUUUCAUGAGGAAGCUCGGCCCCGCUUUCCACUCGAGGCGUGAUUUGUAUGUAAUUAAAAAAUGUUGAUUAUUUUUUAAUUACCUGCGGAAAAGGAUUAGAGAAAAAGAGAAUGAUAGUAGGACACUUGGUAAUCAAAACACGUUGUAUUGUAGCAAACGAAAACGAACCUUAACCACACCCCACUAGGGGAUGGAAACAAAUUGAGUAAAUUUGGAUAGCCAGCAAAAUAAAUUAGAUUAUCAUAUAACUAAAUAAGAUUAUCACAUAACUUGCUUCAAGAUAUUUUUUUGGGAUUAGAUUUGUGUUCACUUAUGAAGUUCAUAUUAUACAUACUAGCUUGAAAACAUGCAAAUUAGUGCAUUCAAUCAGUCGCGGAGCAAGAAUUUUAGGUCAAACCAUAACAAAAAUAGCAAAAGCUAAGAGGCCAUAACAUAAAAUUUAUAAAUUUGAGAUAAAUUUUGUAUCAGAAAUUGAUUAAAUUUUAAUUGAAUCUCUAAUAGUUUUUUAAAGAAAAAUUAACCGAAAACACCUACCCAUAUUACCUAUUGUCAAAUAAAAUAUGAGGACAUCUAUAUUUUAAAAUCAUUCAGACAUCCGCACCAAAGACUAACUAGUUAAAUAAGUAACUCGAAAAUAUAAGAUCUAAUACUUAAAUUACAACACUCUCAUUUUGGAACUCAAAGUUUGCCAGGAUCAUGCAAGCAGCUACAUCUGUAUUAUGGAAUCACUCCAUUAAUUGAUAGCAUUAGUGCCAUUGAUCCAAAUAUCUAAUCAUCUCCUUCAAAUUGUCGACCACAGUAACAGAUCCAUCACAUUUUUUUGCUAGAGUUGUAAAGUUGUGUUGUUGUUGCCACUUCGAUACAUGAGAUAUUUUUUGGGCAUGGUCACAAAGAGGAGCGUGAUACAUGCUCUCAUCAACUCAACACAAGCUAGCACAGUUCGCUUGGAGCAAAUUAUCUUCUUCUAUAAAUUCUCUACUUAAUUCCCAUGAAAUGCCCACAUCCAUCUCCUCAUCCAUUGUUCUGAUUACUAGCUCCAUCUAAUCCCUCUCAUAACAUUUUUCAAAACUAUUUCAGAGCCAUGUUGCCAAGAAGCCGAACUAUGCCAAGCAGAUUCCAUCACGGGGCUGUAAUCACAACAACUUAUUUAAUUUCUUCCUUAAUAUAUAUUCUUGAAAUACUUUCUUUAAUUAAAUUUCUGCUGCUGCUUAUAUAUUGUAAACUUAAUCAAUGUUUGUUUAUAGGUUGAAGAAAGACAUGACGUAAGGCACUACUUGCAAGUUGAAGUUCAGCCUAAAGCUCAUAUUGAGACUGAAGCCACUAAUCCUCAAGCCAACUAUUCGAACUGCUUUGAUGAUGAUGGCCGCUUGAAGAGAACUGGUAAGUUCAAUAACUUGCCUAUUUUUCAAAUCAAAGAGAAGCACUUUUUUUUGGCUUCUGGGAUAGUUACUUUUUUCAUCAAGAAGUACUUAAAGACAAAGUAAAACUAAGAAUUUUUAAUUAUAUAAUACAAAAAGUGGAAAAUAUUUCUUAAGAAAUCCCUUUUGCCGGGGUCUAAUAACGUCUUCAUUUUGUACUAAUACCCCCAUUAUCACUUAGAAAAUAGUAAUAAGCUCAUCAUUUGCUUGGUGAAAGAGAUUAAGCUUUUACUUGUGAAGUAAUCUUCAUAUAAAUAUAUAAUAAUCACACCCUCUCUUUUAUUUGUUGUUGGAAAAAAUAAUUUGUUGAGUUCAUUGUGCUAACUGAAGUCGUUGCAGGGAAUUUCUGGACUACAUCAUCGCAUAUUAUUACUGCAGUUAUAGGAUCAGGAGUAUUGUCAUUAGCAUGGGCAAUAGCGCAGCUUGGUUGGGUUGCAGGACCAACUGUACUGAUCCUCUUUGCCUUAGUCAAUCUUUACACUGCCAAUCUCCUCUCUCAGUGCUACCGGUCCGGUGAUCCUGUUACCGGACAGAGAAAUUACACCUACAUGGAUGCUGUCAAGGCUAACUUAGGUAACAAGAAUGCUGUUGUCAUUUUCAUGUACAAGACUUUUUAUCUUUGAUGGGAUGAUGCUAACAUUGAUUUUGAUUUUAAUUUCAGGUGGAAAGAAGGUCAUAUUCUGUGGAUUGAUCCAGUACUUGAAUUUGUUUGGUGUUGCUAUUGGUUACACAAUUGCAGCAUCGGUUAGCAUGAUGUGAGUUUUCUCCACGAAUUUUAGCUCAUGUUUUUAAAGUUUAACUUGCAUAUGCUUCAUGUGCCAUUGAUUAUGUUAUUUUAGGGCAAUAAAGAGAUCAAACUGUUUCCAGAAAAGCGGGGGGAAAGAUCCGUGCCACAUGUCGAGUAAUGGGUAUAUGAUAACAUUUGGAAUCAUAGAGGUGUUAUUUUCUCAGAUCCCAGACUUUGAUCAAGUGUGGUGGCUCUCCAUAGUUGCAGCUAUUAUGUCAUUCACAUACUCUACUGCUGGUCUUGGACUUGGAAUUGGAAAAGUUGCAGGUACAAAUAUGCUUAUAAAGCCAUCCUCUCCUUCAAUUAUGAGACGAAGAAGGAUGCCGGCAAUGGUAUAAAAAGCUUGCAUUUUUUCAGGAAACGGGAGCUUCAAGGGAAGCCUAACGGGCAUCAGCAUAGGAACACUAACAAGUGCUGGAACAGUUACUGGAACACAGAAGCUGUGGAGAAGUCUACAAGCUCUUGGAGCAAUUGCCUUUGCAUACUCUUUCUCCAUCAUCCUUCUCGAAAUCCAGGUACAAGCUUUGACAGCAUGCUUAGCAUAUUUAUUGCCUAAAUACAUGAUGACAUGUAUUCGUAUAUAAAAGAACACUUUAUCUAUUCUACAGGAUACAAUAAGAUCCCCUCCUGCUGAGUACAAGACCAUGAAGAAAGCAACUUUGUUCAGCAUCAUAGUAACGACUACAUUCUACUUGCUCUGCGGAUGCAUGGGUUAUGCAGCCUUCGGAGAUCUUGCUCCUAACAAUCUUUUGACUGGCUUUGGUUUCUACAAUCCCUAUUGGCUCAUAGACAUUGCAAAUGCAGCAAUUGUUGUUCAUCUUGUUGGUGCUUAUCAGGUCUUUUGCCAGCCAUUGUUUGCUUUUGUGGAGAAAUGGAGUGCAAAAAAAUGGCCUAAGAGUGACCUUGUGACUGCAGAAUAUGAGAUACCAAUCCCUUUCUGGGGUGUGUACCAGCUGAACUUGUUUCGGCUGGUAUGGAGGACUAUCUUUGUUGUGCUGACGACAUUGAUAUCCAUGCUCCUGCCAUUUUUCAACGAUGUUGUGGGGAUUCUAGGGGCCAUGGGAUUCUGGCCAUUAACAGUCUAUUUCCCGAUUGAGAUGUACAAAGCACAGAAGAAGAUUGGAAGAGGGACAACUAGGUGGCUUGGGCUUCAGAUUCUAAAUGUGAGUUGUUUCUUCAUCACUCUGGUUGCUGCAAUUGGUUCUGUGGCCGGAGUUGUUCUGGAUCUCAAGACUUACAAGCCAUUCAAAACUCGCUACUGAGUUAUGAAGUUAUACUAGAAUUUGGCAGAAGAAUAUAUUUAGCAACUAUUUAGCAACUGCUGAGCGAGUAUGAACCAUUGACAUUGAAGAAUUUAACGGUUCAUGUGAGGAAUAAAAUGUACCAUUUGCUAUCAAAAGUAUAUUCAUCUUGGUGUCCAAAUUUAGAUUCAUAUCGGCAAUGCAAAAUUGACACAGUAGUUUCAUUUCACCAUCAAUUGGGAUUAAUGUAUGUAUGUAUGCAUGUAUGUAUGUAUACACACACACACACACACAUAUAUAUAGCCUGUUUUCAUCUAAAAAGUAACAAACCUCAACCUUCAAGAAAAUGGAAAAAGAAAAAAGCCAUUUCUGCUAUUACAUAGAGGUGAACAAUGCGGGACGAAAAUAUGUUUACUAAGAUUUCUUGCUCUGUUUAGCCUUGAGCUCAGCAGCAUUAGCUUUUACAGCAGCUUUAGCUAGAGACGUGGGCUUGAAUGCACUCUUUGGAUUGAAAGCCUGCCUUAUCUUGAAAACAGCCCAAGCAGUCCCAAAGGCAUGUCCAGCAGCAUCUAGCCCUUCAUUUGUUGCCUUUGCUGCUUGCUCCCCAUACCUGCAAUGUCAAAAAUGUCAAAAAUAUGAUCAUUACUCUAAUAGAUCCAACAGUAUCAUGAAAGCUUUAAUGAAAACGGGUACACUGAAUGUAAUUGUCAAAACUUUGGAGUCUAAAAUGAACCCCUCUGAUUUAAUUGAAAUGAUCUUGCCAUUUAAGCUGAUCAUAGGAACACAGAGUUCUGAAUUUAUUCCAUAAAGAUAAAAAUAUCAACUUUCUGUAUGGCCCACAGCCAGACAAAUCCCUUUAGUGGAACAACACCUGUCUUAAGAGAAAGCAUCCCAAAUUAAAGAAAUAUGAAUCGACAACAUAGAUGAUUCCAACUUAUCCAAUAUAACAUGAUCACAAGAUCAUGCUGAUAGUAAUAUUUGCAAUUAUUGUGACGCUGAUGAUGCAAUGAUGCAUUAAAUACAUAUUUAAGUUGAGAUAAAUACCUAUCCGAAACAAGUCCAGUUGUCACAACAGAUGUGGUUGACAUGACAUUCCUUCCAGCAACUUCAACAGCAUCACAGACCUUGUCUGCAAAUGCACACAGAAAGAACACACGGGUGAUCAAUGAUGUAAUCAGAAGGCAUAAAGCAUGAUACAACUCUACAAAUACACGCAACCAUUUUUAGCAUUUCAUAGUUAUAGUACUAACUUAACCAUCCACAGGUUAUUUUUACGCAGACAAAUAUCGCAAGGCCAUAGCAACAUCUUGCGACAUGGGAUAAGGAAUUUAUACAAGGAGAUCAGAUAAGAUCAGAUUAAUUUAUAGAAGUAACAUCUCCUUCAGAACUUAGGAUUUGCAUGUAAUUCAUAUAUGGGAGAAUAAACAAACUGAAAAGAACAACUUACUGAACCCAUCCAAGGUAGCAAGGACAAUUUCCCCAGGCAGUAGGCUGAAAAAUUUCUUCCCAACUUUAGAAUUCACGAUCGGGCCUGUGAAGAAUCCAGACACUUUAACAACCCCAGAAAGGAUUCCAGUAGCCACUUUCUCAGACAUCUUAGUCAACUUCUUAACCCUGAGUAUAACAGACCAUUAGAUGUGUCAGCUCGAUAUAGAAAAUACUGAAAAGCAGAAAACACAGAGUUGCAAACAAUACAUUUCAAAAUUUUGGUAGUUUCAUUUAUUCAAGUUUGUGCUUUAAGUGAAAUAAAAGCAGAAACGGGGAAUUUGAAAGAAGAAAAAUUUUGCAAUUGAAAAUUUUUCCAAAGUAUCCGGACAAGGGGUCUGAAUUUUAAGUAUGAACCAUAGUUCGAAUACUUCAUGAUCUAUUUCAUAUAUUCCAUGCUCAAGAUACUAGAAUGAAUAAGGCAUACAAAUUAGAUAUCGAAAUAUUAGCUGCCAAAAGUCUAAUGCAUAUCUACUCCAAAAAUUAUACAGCAGACACAUAAUUUAGGACAAAUAAAUUGGUAAAUCUUCUAUCCAGGAGACUAAAUCUUAACUAAUGAUUCACCUAUGCAUAAAAACAGGGCCAAACCACGUAGAGCCAUGUAUAUAUAUAAAAUCUAACCUUUUGAUCCGCUUGAUUGUAUCAGGACUAAUCUCUGAUUGCGAACCGGAUCCCAUCCUCUUCCUCAGAAAUCCAUUCCCCCACUUCAAGCCAUCCACAGUCACGUCACCACACCACAAAAUCCCCUUAAUCAACUGCCCUGAUCCCGCGGCAAUCAUCCUCGCCACAGAGCCGCUAUAGUCCUCCACAUUGGGCGCCAACGCAGUCCAAUAAGCCCCCGAACUCUUCCCCAUUAACUCCCUAUUCUCCGCUGACUUCAGCUCCUCAGGCGACAUCUCCUUGGCCACCAUCUCCCAAUUCCCCAUAUUCUUCACCUUUUGCACCGAAAAACAACUGUAAGUCUCCAACACUUUAUCCAAUUCCUUCAACAAAUGCUUCUGUCCCUUUGUAGCAAUCGUCAGCCCAUAGUUCAACACCUCAUGAUGAACUUGAUCAGUCUCGAGCGAACCAUUUUCGGGAACCCUUAGAGUGAAGAAGUAAUGAGAGUCGUCAAGCUUAACGGCCGGCUCAUCUUUGGCCAAAGGCCAUUGAAUUUCAUCACCAACACGUGCAAACACAGCAACAACAUUGUCGCCUUGCGAGAGAGACACUAUAUAAAGCUCACCGGAAGCAAGCUCAACGCUUUGUUCUCUUUCGAUUAAGUGGACAAUAGCGCCUGGGAUUUUGACAAGAACAUGCUCGGACGGUGGGGCGUUGGCGGUGAUGUGCGAAACGGCAUCGUCUUCGGGGAAGAGAUUUUCCGCCAUGUCUUUCAUGUCAACCGAAGGGUAUAAAGAAGACGGUGAUGAAGAAGCGGCAGUCGAAGCAGAAGCGGCUUCUGGGUUUGAUAAAUCGACUUCUGGGUAAAGUGCUUUUGAGGGGUUUGAAGAAGCCAUGAUUGAGUAUUGACGCUGAUGAUGAUCAGUUACUUUACUUGAGACUUUGGGGCUUACAAACGUUUUCGUAAAGCUUAGGAUCGAAGGAAAAUGAACGGGGAAGGAAAAUGGGGACCGUGUAUGAUGACGUGGCGGAAGGAGAAGUAUCCGCGUAAUAGACGUGGGCUGUUGGUCGUCCUGCUGAAGUAACUGUUUUGUUUUCAACAACAAAGAAAUAUCUACCUCCCGCGCUUUAUUCAUAUUCGUUUCGCAAAAUCCUUUAUUUAGGUUUUUUUAGUAAUUUCCUUUAUUUAAAAUCUUUAGAUUAACAAAGUUACUAGUUUACAAGAAACUGAAAGAGAUUUAAUUGAACAGAAACACGUGUCCUUAUUCGUGAUUAAUCAGAUUGAGAUGAAACGUCAUAUUGGAUCACUAAUUGUGACAGGAGUAGCGCAUCUCCUUUAUUUCUUUCUUAUAACAGUAAGUAGUUGAGGAGGCAUACACUUGUAAUCACAAAGAAUGGAUUCCAUAAAUUUAGACCGGCUUGAAAGAAAUUGAAUUUUUAAAUUAUUACAUCACAAUUCUUUCUUCAAAUAUUAUGUUUAGAUUUUCCUCCGAAUCAUACACCCCAAAACUUUGAAAAGAAUAAAGAGAAAUAUACUCUAAUAAAUAAUGGACAAAAUGUUUUUGUCUCUAAUAGGUAUUAAGACGUGAUUUAAAAAAUGUGAGAAUCAUCCAAUUAAAUUAAUGUCUUAAAAAUUAUAUUUAAAAAAAAUUACUUUACAACGGUUGUAAAUUAUAAGUAUUUUCACUUUCAUAAGAUCUUUAUUAUGGUCAUUAUUAUUAUUAUUAUUAUUUGGAUAAAUUUACUAACAUACACCUUUACUCUGACUCCGAGUAACAUAAAAUUUGAUAAAUGUGAAGAACAAUUGUGAGUUUGUGACCAUUGAAAACUAGUUUGUCCAAAUUCCAAAUUUUCAAUCAAGACUUAAAGUGAUUUGUAGCUAGAGGUGGCAGAAAAGCUCGCCCGGACCGGAUCCGGCCCGGACCCGGCGUGAGCGGUCCGGAUAAAACCCGGCCCGCAUGAAUGGAAAAAGCGGACCCGGCUGCUUGCGGGCACGGGUUCGGUCACAGCACCAAGAACCCGGAACCCGGACCCGUGCCCGAUUUUUUAUUAAGUAAAAAAAAAAAGAGGAAAAUAUAAAACCGAAAAUAAAAUUUGCUUUGCCCUAUUGCCCCCAAAACCCAACCCUAAAUCGCGAUUGCAAGUGAACAACACAGCACACAAGCACACACCCUGAAAUCUCCAAAUCGGCGGCACCUCUCUCCGUCUCUCCACCAGCAGCCACCACCCACCAGCCGCGAACCUCUUACCUUCCCUGAUCAACUCUAUUUCUCCUCGCAAAGCACAUCCAUCCCGUCACAGAGCUCUUCACUGUUUGGUUAUCUUCUCAGCGGCAGCCACCACGCGACGGUAUCAGCCAUCAUAGCUGGUCUCACUCCAUUGUUUUGUCACCUUAUCAGCUGCAACUCCACCAACACAGCCACGACCCACGAUAUAUUUGUAUAUCGACCGUAACAAGACGACAAUGUGUUGAGUUGUUUACAGAGAAUACUCAAAUGGGUUUGCUUGGUUUCUCUUCUCCUCUUGUUGUUGUUGUUUUCUAUUUGGUUUUGAAUGCAGCUUCGCUUGUUAAUGGAGGCAAAACUAGCAGCUUUUUCAGGAAAGUUGAAAAGACCAUGGACAUGGCUGUAUUUUUAUUUCCAGUGCAUUCAACUUUGAAAAUGUGGGUAGAGAAAAUCCGAAAAAAAAGCCCGUGCCUGGAUAGUGCCAGGCAUAUACCCGGCCCGCAUAGAAAAAAUCCAGGCACGGUUCGGGUCCGGGUAGCUAUGUGUGACAUGCAGGUCGGUCCCGGGCAGCCUCAAACCCGGACCCGACCCGCACUUUUGCCAUCCCUGUUUGUAGCCUAGCUUUGUCUAGCCCAUCUUCAAUACAAAGCCCAGCUUAAGGCCAGGAAUAAGUCCUCUUGAGCCCAAGCCUUCAAUAAAUGGGCUGUCUCAGCCCAUUAUUUAAAAUGUUAAUAACCGGAAAUAAGCGUCUGACCCGCAAUCGAAACACUUACAAAGUCUUCAACUUCUCAUCAACACUCAAGGAUUUAUAUGCUUCUAAACACGAUCAAGAGAACUCCUUUUAUAUACUUCCAAUUCAAUAAGUGCUUUAUUCCAUACAAACCUCAAGCUCCUUGCAUUGAUCCGUACAAUUCCAGCAAACUCUUGAGUAAUUAUUUCAAAUCAGGAAAAAUUAAAGAAGCAGAGAACCUGUUCGAUGAAAUUCCUGAGAAGAAUGUAGUAUCAUGGUCCAUUGUGAUUCAUGGAUAUUCUAUAAAUGGGUUUCACGAGAAAUCCAUGAAAGCUUUCUCCCAUAUGAUGCUUUCGGGUUUGUUACCCAAUUCUUUCACUAUGGUUGGUGUUCUUGUUGCGGCAGCAGGCUUGCAAAACUUGGAACUUGCAAGAUCUAUUCAUGGGCUGAUGGUGAAAUUUGGGUUGGAAUCUGAUGUAAUAGUUGGUACUGCGAUGCUUGAUGCAUAUGCAAAAUGUGGGAAUAUAUUUUAUUCGUAUAAGUUGUUUGAAGGACUAAAGAACCCAUAUUUGGUUUCUUGCAAUGCAAUUGUUGCUGGGUUUAUAAAUAAUAAACUUUUUCAACAGGCUGUUCUCUUAUUUAAUUUCUUUCGUGGGUCUGGUUUGGUGCCUAAUGCUGUGACAAUGUUGACGGUUAUUAGGGGUUGUGUUGCAUUAGGGUCAAGGGCACUUUGUGAACUAAUCCAUGGUUUGACAAUUAAGUUGGGCCUUAUUUUGGAUGUAUCUGUUAAUAACUCUGUACUUGACAUGUAUUCAUGUCUGAUGGAUUUAGAUGCUGCUAUCCAAAUAUUUAGAGAGAUGGAAUGCAAAGAUGUUAUCAGUUGGACGAGGAUGAUGGGCUUGUUUGUCGAUUUUGAAUAUGCCGGUGAUGCUCUAAAGAUUUUUAGGGAAAUGAGAAAGAGUAGGAUCAUUUGUGAUACGGUUGCUCUACUGAAUUUAAUCUCAGCUAAUGCAAUUUUGGGAGAUCUGAAGAGAGGAAAACAACUCCAUGCACAAGUUGUUUUGGGAGGCCUUCAAUCAGAGCAACGCCUUUCAAACUCUAUCAUUGCAAUGUAUUCCAAGUGUGGAGAUUUAGAUUCUUCCAGAUCUGUGUUUAAUCAGAUAACAGAGAGGAGUUUGGUUUCCUGGACAGCAAUCAUUUCAGGAUAUGUGCAGAAUGGGUGUGCAAGAGAGGCUUUGAACCAAUUCAUUAAGAUGAGACAAGAAAAAACCGAUUCCGUUGAUUCAAUAACGUUAGUCAGUAUUCUCACUGCUUCUGGUGAGCUAGCUGCUUUAGAGAUCUGCCUGCAGCUCCAUUGUCUUGCUUUUGAAGCUGGUUUCCCACGGUAUAGAUCAGUUCAAAACUGUCUUAUAUCGUCAUAUUCAAAGUGUGGGAAUGUCGACCUUGCCUACAUUGUUUUCGAGGAGAUGGGUUUUCUUCGAGAUGUUGUAUCAUGGAAUACUAUUAUAUAUGGUUAUGGGGUUAAUGGCCAUGGGGAAACGGCUCUUGCUCUGUACCAUAAGAUGACGGAGACUGGGGAAGUCCCUGAUAGUUCAACCUACCUGAGCAUUUUGAAUGCUUGUAGUCAUGCAGGGUUAACAAAUGAUGGAUUAGUUAUUUUCAAUCAAAUGAUAGAAGAAAACAAAGUGAAGCCAAGCCAAGAGCAUUAUGGGUGUGUGGUUGAUUUGCUUGCUCGAGCGGGCUGCUUAUCAGAUGCAAGUGGGCUUGCUGGUAAACUUUUAGAAGGGAUGGGCCCAAAUAUUUGGAGGGCUUUGCUUAGUGGAUGUGUGCUCCAUGGUAACGUGGAGCUAGCAGAACUAGCAGCGAAAAAUGUAUCUGAGCUUGACCCUGGAGAAUCUGGUCAAGUUGUGCUCCUUUCAAAUGCUUAUGCAUCAGUUGGGAGGUUUCAGGAUGCUGAAGCAUUGAGAUCGGGCUCACAGAAGAAAGGGAUAAUUAAGAUUCCAGGGAUUAGCUUUCUCAAUAGCACAUCACGUGACUUCGGUUGAUUAUUCUAUCCUUUUAGAUUAGAGGAGAGUUUCUUUCUUCUUAUGGACAUUCACUAUGUCUCAAGACUUGAUGAAGUUUCUGUUGACAUAAGCGCCACCAGAACAUCCCCGUACUACUGGCAACUUGAUUAACCAGAUGAUGGCUGAAUCUGGGUUUAUUAUUCAUUAUAGUUAAAACGCAUCAAGGAGAGAACCUCUGUAUAAAAUUCCAGAAUUACGAAUUUGAAGAUGAUUCCAUUUGUUCUUCUUUAAUGGAUCUGAUAUGGCUGAAAUUAAUUAUCAGCAUUUGUAAUCAUAGCGAUGCUAACUUUAACGUACCCUGCUUCAUCAUGAAUGUAUUCUAAAAUCGUUAAAAGCAAUAAUUUCCUUUCCUUUACUUUUGCUUCUUUUUUUAUUUUAUUAGAAGAAUCUUGUUGACUUUAUAUUCCACCGGUUUGGUAUGACAAGAUGCUAGCAUAAUUAGCUGAUGUGAAAAUUCAUUAUUAAACUAAAGACUUUGGUUCAAUCACCUAUUUGAUAUUUACUACCGAUUACAUAUGCUCAUGAAAGUUCCUGUGAUUACAAAUCCCGGUUUAGUUGAUUGAAUUCCGGAGAAUCUGAGGAUUAUUAAAUUUCUUCGGUGCUAUUACAUUUAAUUUCUCUGCUAGGAAAACUGUAUAGCUGUAUCUGUUGAGUGCUGCUGAGGACUACUAGUUCAUGCCUAAAUGAUUUAUGGGCAAGUCAGGAACAUGAUGCCCAUUCUUUCACAAGAUGUGGAUAGAUAUAACUCAGAAGUAGUAUCUAGAAUCCUGGAAAACUAAUUAGUUUCUGUUGCUAGUAUACCAAUAAUGUCAUGGAUAAGCUGCUGUAGAUAAUGCGCAUCUCAUCACGGGAAAACUAUUAAAUACAAUAAUCCUAAGUCAACCCAGCACAGCUUAUCUUUUAACAGAUCCACUAACUGCUUAAUUUGGUGUUCUCACGGCUUUCCGAUGAAUUAUGAAAUUGAUCUUAUCCAUGAGAUGCAAGGCACGGCGCCAACCGGCAGCAGCCCCAGUACAGGCUCCGUGUGGUACAGCUUAUUAAAUAGAGCUUAUAACAGUAGAGCUUAUAGCAGUAGAGCUUAUACCAAUAGAGCUUUUGGACAAAAAGUCAUUGGGUGUUUGGUUGUCAAUAAAAAAAGUACUUUUGAACCAUUAAACUGUGUGAUAUUUUUUUAUUAUAUAUUUUUAGAAAAACUCUCUAACUUCUACUCCCAAAAGCUCAAAUUUUGGGCUUUCGCUAGUAGAGGUAAAUUAGCUUAUUUAAGUUAAAAAAACUCUACUAAAAAAAUAACCAAACACCAUAAAGUUUUUUAAAAAGUACUUAUACGAUUAAAUAAGCACUUAUGGCUCUUAAAUAAGCCAUACCAAACAUGCACUAAGUUCGGCCUGAAAUGGCUUAUGGAUAGCAAGUGAGGUGCAGAAACACAAUAGCGGUCCACAAAGAUAAAAUGCAAGAACUAUAGCCCAAGAAAGAAAGCUAAUACAUGACGGAAAUGAAAUACUAACUAGGCAACCCAAAAAGGGGGUGAAUUGAGAUUUUAAAAUUUAAGAUAAACAAACUAUACAACAAUUUAAUCUAAUGCCUUAAUGGAAUAAAAAAUAAUAAAUUUAACAAAGCACGAUAAUAAGAGAGUAAGGGAAGAGAAAACAAGCAUGAUUUUUACGUGGUUCGGCAAUCUCCGCUUACGUCUACGCCUCCAAGCUCACCCGACUUGAGGAUUUCACUAUUUAAACUUCCCAAGGCUUCAAGUUUUUUAUAAUUGACUUUCAAGGUGUCAAUGGACCUUUAUAAUCAAGAGAUUAUUUCCUCAAUCUCUUCACUCCAAGUGUUUCUCACACUUGUACACUCACAAUUUGAUGAAAAAUAAAAAUUACAACACAAAACUCUCUUUUAGAGUGGAUAUACAAAUGAUAGCUCAAUGAAGAUUUAAUCUAUGAUGAUUUGCGAAAUUAAAGCUCAAUAUAUGUUGUGUGCACUUGUUUAUGCUUGCAAAGAUUACCAAAAAUAAAUUGAAUUUGAGUUUAUAUAGUUUGAGCUCGAAAACUAGCUGUUAUAGACUUUUUGGUGAUAACCGCCUUGUCGCUUUGUGAAUCCGGUUAGACGCUUUUAUGUUACCGUUACAACAAAUAUUUGAAUUUUGGAACAUCCGGUAUGCCGCUUUUGGAAUCUGGUUAGCCGCUUUCAUUCCAGUAAGCUACUGCCCAUAAUCUGGCUUGCCACUUUGUAAAAUACGGUUAGCCGCUCUGCUACAAUGACAGAUACAGUGAAUUAGUUUUUUAAAUUAUAAUUUUACCCUAAACUUUAUAGAAUUACGAUAUAGCCCAAAAUAUCAUAAAACUUUAUACAAAUGUCCAAUUUCAGAACUUCUAAAUAAUACUUAUUAUUCCCAAAAAAUUUUAAAAUUAUGAUUUCCCCAAAACGCUAUGAAAAUUUUCACAUAAGUCAUUUUCUAGAAUUCCAAGCAAUACUUGUUGAUUUCAAAAUUUUUAAAACUCUUUCAAUUAGACCAUAAACUUGAAAAACAACUAAUUUUAUAAAAUUAUUUUUCCAUUAAAUAUAAAAUAUUUAUAAUGUAAAAAUAAUAAUUUAUUUAAAAUGUAUAAAAAAUAAUUUAAACUUUCAAAAACUAAAUCAUUUUAAAAUUUAUUUAUUAUCAUCAAAAUCAAUAUUAUGGAUACAUAAAUGUUAACCGAAAAAUCUUUUACUUUCUUAGUUCAUGCAUGAGGAUAACUCCUAGCUUUAAAGAUGUGGGCACGCAUUCAUUUUGGCAUACUUUGGUUCAAUGUGCCUGAAUAACAUUUUGGAAUAAAAAAUGUCCACUUCUCAUCAAAUUCUAGCCAUCCAAGCAUGUCUCGUUCAACCCAUUUGCAUCAAGCAUCAUUUACUCACACCACAUAACCUGGACUUUUCUAGCAUUUUACAUGGCCUAACUAUUUAUGUAUAUAUAUACUCUUUCAGUCCUUUAUUUUUGUCGACAAGGCUCUAAACGAUGAGGGUAUCGGAUACUCUAGCAUCAAAUUGGAACUCUGUCUGGGCUGCUAGUAUCUUGUUCCUCAAGUGCUUCCAGUUACAACUUUCUAUAAUGUCUCUUUCUAUACUUUCUGCAGUUUUUGCUUUCAUUAUCAUAUCUGUUGCUCUUCUCAUCGAUACAGUGGUCGUACUAUUCUGCGAUUCGAGUUCAGUAUCCCUGAAGACAUGUAAAGGAGGCAUAUGCUGGCACAGCCUUGUAGAUUCUUGUACUGUUUCUGGUGAAAAUAUGAUGUGGUCACCCUCUCAAUUAUCCGUGGUAAACUGAAUGAAUUUCAUUGUCUUAUAAAUGAAACAUCUAUAUCUAUAUGACUAUAUAUGAUAUAGCUUCACAAAUUGAUGCCUCAGUAUCAGCUCAAUACCACCCCCAGAUAAGCACUUAUUUGUAGUGAUUUAUCUUUUAAAAUAAAAAUCCAAACUAAAAACUGUUUAUGAAAGCACUUGUUGUCUCCACUAAAAGCCAAGAAUUUGAUUCGCAUUUAGUUAGGUUAGAUCACGCCCAGAGCAAGACACCAAUUCAAUUAUGUGGUUUCAACUUUCACUUAAGCUCGUUAGUCAAAUAAGUUGAAAAGAUUGGUGUAUGCUUGUAGAUUAUUUAUUUGCACUAGGAAGCUUUAGGUUGCAUAUAAUAAAUAGAAAUAAUAACAUUCAUUAAGCCUGAUUAAUUGCUGCUCAAGUUUUUUGUUUAAAAAGGGGAUGAUCCAUUUUUCGAUAAAGUUUUGCAAGAUUCAAUAAGAUUGAUUUAAUAUCAAACAAAUAUUUAAACCGACACAAAGCUUUAAGUAACUUGGAAGCAAAUGGUCCUCCCUAAAGUGCUUUCUUUCUUUCUUUCUUUCUUUAAUUUAUAUAAUUUUUUUUCAGCGUACAUGGCUGUCCCAGUGGCGCUAGCGCCUAAGAAAUAUCGAAUGGUGGGUGCAAAUUAACGCGGGAAUGACCUACCAAAUUUGUAUCUUAUGACUUAUAUAGUUUCGAAGGAAGCUGCAGUAAUAUAAAGCCAUUUCAUGUUAGAAGUAUACAAAUUAAUUAUACCGGGGUGUCCUUGUGGUCUUGUCUCUCUCUCUCUCUCUUUAUUUUUAUCGGGAAAUUUACAGUAAUAACCCAAAAAUUUUGCUUUUUUUCAUCUUAACCCCCCAAAAAUAUUUCUAUCAACAUUAGCCAUAAAACAACAUUUGAGACCAAAAUACCCCUCCCUCAUCUCUCCCCCAACACUCCCUUGCACUCAUCUCUCCCAAACCGAUCCAUCAUCGGCGACAACAUGGGAGAAACAAUGUUGGUUUUGUUCUGUAAAGAAGGAUAAUUUGAAAAAAAAGACUUAUAUUUGACUAAUGUUGAUAGAAAAAAAUUAACAGGAUUAAUUGUGAAAAUAAUAAAAUAUUAAUGGUUAUUUUCGUAAAUUUCCCAUUUUUAUCUGAUGUGGUACGGGAAGUGGAUUAAAGCAUGGAUUAUUUCGUUCGUUGGAGGGGCCUGAAUAUCAAUCAUUCAAGAUCCCUUAUGCCCGCGAAACCCUCUGAACAAACAAAAGAAAAAAGAAAAAGGGAAAGGAGAAAUUGAAUUACAUUAUGAAAUUCUUCCGUUUGAAAAGAGAAAAGGAUUAGCUGUUUUCUCUCUUCUUUUUCUGGUUGAAAACAUAAAUUUUUUUUGAUCUCUUGAUAUUAUUAAUAAUAUGUAAUUAUAUUAUAAAAUGACAAUUCAUUGUUGAUUGAGAUUAUUAACAAUUAUAUGUGAUUAUAAUAUGAUUUUUUCUUUUUUUUUUUUUUAAUACAAAACUUCCCACAUGAAACAAUCAAGGAAGGGAUGAUAUUCUAGGAGAGAAUGGAUAGAACUCGGUAUUAAAAUAAUCAAUCUUAAAAAUGUGUGUGCACUUUGAACAAGACUAAACCAAUAGCAAACGGCUAGUGAAUCUUCUAUAUAUUUUAUGAACAAAAUAAGAGGUCAUAAAACACAAAGGGCAGCGUGCUGCGUGCGUGCGUGCGUUUAGUAACUUGCAUCGCAUUAAAAUUUUUUUUUUACCAGUUUCUCUCCCUGCCCAGUCUCUAAAUUUGUGGAUCAGUGGAUGGUGACCAUAAUGGAGGAAUUAAAACCAUUGGAGAUAAAAGCACAAGAAGCAUUUCAAAGUACUUUCGGUACUUCUACAACAUUUCUAAAUAACCAAGAAUAUAGUCGUAGCAACUAGCAAAUGCCAAGGGACAACACUAGCUAGAAAAGCAACAGAAGAUCAAUAAAGGAAGCCUUGCUAAAUUCAACAACUAAUCACUGUUACAGUGCUUGAUGGGAGAACCCUGCUCUAGCAAUUAGCAGUAGCUGCUGGUACAAAAAGCAUGUAAAUAUGUAAUUAUAUGAACUCAAAACAGCAAUCAUUUCUUAUAAUUGAGUUUUUAAAAGCCUAUACUUUAUGUAAAGUUGAGUAUAUAAACUUAGUUCAGUUUAUACAUACAACAUACAUCCACUUAACUUGAAAGAGACAAGUACUCCCAACCUCUCUACUUCUAUCUUGCCGAAAGUGAAAAAAAAACACAGUGCGCACACAUUACAAAAGCCAUAAAAGCAAGUAGCUUCUCCUACAAGUUACCUCAUCCAGGUUACAGAGGGUCCAAUUGGGUAACCACAAGUGGGCUUCGAACCUCGUGCUUCCCGUCAGACCACGAUAUUGACCCGAACGCAGCACCAGAGUCAUUCAACACCAAGUUCUUGCUAUCAGCAGUUACCGUCACCACAAAGCUGCUCUUCUUAACACCCUCUGUGAAGACCAAUCUUGAUGGUUUCACAGUCACUGUCACUCCUUUCUCCGGAGACACAACUUUCACUGUAUACACAGCAUUUGGCUGACCAACAUUGGUCACGGUUCUGAUAAAACUCUUGCUUGAAACUCCCCUGGAUUGUGUCGAGAACAAUGCGGCAAUCGAAGGGUAGUUCAAAUUCUCGGGCCUUGGCCUUUUAGCCGGACAUCUCGCUGGUAUUCGUGUGAUCACCUGAAUUAACUUUGGUCCAUAACCAUUAGCACAUAAAAAGUUAACAUAAUCAUCAUUGGUAAUAUCAUAAACCAACCCUGGAUCCAUUGCUCUAUCAAGAUUUACAUGGCCGGCACCAAAAUCAUACGGGGUUGAUGCAUUUCCAGUAGCCUCAUCAGUCAUGGGCUGGUUGCUAUUAUCAACUAUACUAGCAGUAGUCAUCAUAGCAGACCUUAUAGCAGCCGGACUCCAAUCCGGGUGAGCUGACUUAAGCAAAGCCGCUGCACCACUCACAUGUGGGCAUGCCAUUGAUGUACCAGACAAGAUAUUAAACUCAGUUUUCCUCAAAUCUGAAUCCAACCCCGUCGGCCCAACAGCCUCCGUCCAAGCAGCAAGAAUGUUAACACCGGGAGCAAUCAAAUCCGGUUUAAGAAUCUCCGGAUUCAACGCAUUUGGCCCCCUGGCUGAAAACGAAGCCACCACAGGUGCCGGCUUGAUUCCGAGAAUAGUCCCCUUGAAAUCAAUCGUAGCCGUCGGAUUAGCUGUUGAAGAAAUGUAAGCUUUAACUGCAUCACCUUCAUCAGAACCAAGGGCACAAGCUGGUAAAAGAUGAGCAUCACCAACUAAGCCUUCGCCGUUGGAUAUUCCAUUGGCUAAUAUCAUGCCCACGCCUCCAGCUUUCUUUACAACUAAACCUUUAGCCACUCUCGGGCUACUUCCUCUAUCGCAAAUUACAAUUUUGCCCCUCACCAGAUUAGGAUCCAAGGAAUUUUCCAUACAUAAAGAAGCUGAUAAAACCCCUGAUUUUCCCGGGUAAAUUAAAGGAUACAUUUUCUCACUCAACGGCGCACCCGCAUAUAGAGACACGCCGGAGAGUCUCCUUCCGUCACCGAGUCUCACCUCCGCGGGGAAGUUUCUGUCUAUGGUUCCGGCACCAACGGUGACAAUCCAGGGAGCGAGAUUAGUCACUGACAUCCCGUUCGGGCCGUCGUUUCCAGCCGAUGACGACACAAACACACCUCUUGAAGCGGCGCCAUAUGAUCCGAUUGCGAUCGGGUCGAGAUAAUACGGCGAAGAAAUUCCAUCACCGCCGCCAAUUGAGAUGGAAAUGACGUCGACUCCGUCGUUAACGGCGGCGUCGAAGGCAGCGAGAAUGUCGGAGUCGAAGCAGCCGGCGUUCUUCCAGCAUACCUUGUAAACCGCCAGCCUCGCCUUCGGCGCUACUCCCUUAGCGACCCCGGCGGCGUAACCUUCCAUGCUCGCGCGGAACGCGUGCCGUCCUGCGGCGGUCGACGCCGUGUGGGUCCCAUGACCAUCGGCGUCCCGCGGCGACAUGAACUCUACAGUCUCAUUAAUUCCACCGCCAAUCGGACCAGCCGACCCCCCCGCCGCCUCGUGGCCUUUCGAAAAGAACCUUGCUCCAAUAAUUUUCUUAUUACAAUUCUUAGCAGUGAAUUUGACUCCAACUUGGCAUACCCCUUUCCAUUUCGAAGGAAUUGACCCGAUAUUCAAGUCGGAAAAGCUUCGUCGUUCUGGCCAGAUACCGGUGUCGAACACGCCAAUGAUGACGUCGGAUCCGUAGUCGGAUUCCGACCAGAGGCCUUGCUGGUUGCGGAGGCCGAGGAACUGAGGUGAGCGGGUGGUGUGGAGUUGACGGCGUUGGUCCUCGAUGACGGCGAGGACGGAGGGGUGACGGCUGAGGGAGGCGGCUUGGUCGGGGGAUAGAGUAGCGGAGAAGCCGUGGAAAACGGUGUCGUAUGUGUGGAGGAUUUGGACGGGAGAAGCGAACUCAGAACUAUACCAGUGAUAGUGCGUCGGGAAAAUGGACGGCUUGGAUUGAGAGUCGAUGCGGAAGAUGAAAGUUUUGACGGUUUGAUCGGUUGAGAGAGUUCGAGUUUGGAGGAACGAACCGGAGAGGAGUAAGAAAAAGAGGAACUGUAGGGGGAGUGAACUGUAGGGAAUCGCAGCCAUGGGAGAGAGAAUGAUGGUAAGAGUGAAGUGAGGGAGUGUGUGUUGGUUACCCACGGAGACGGAGGGAUAUAAUACGGAUACUGUCCUUCUGUUUUUCUUAAUCGCGUUUAAUUAAUUCAUUAAUUCAAUAAAUUCCCUAAUUUAUCAUAUGGGGUAAUUUAACCCCGUAUCCUUUACUUUUAAUGUUUUUCCAAAUAAGGCCAUAGUUGUUUUCGUUUGAACCAAAUAGGUUGUUGACUCCUACAGGAAUAAUUAAAGUACUGUUAAUUUAUUUUUUGUUCAAAAAUAGUAAGAGAGGACAUGAAUAAAAAAAGAGAGAGACAAAAUAAAAAAAAAAAUAAAUGAUUAAUUUUAUUUUUAUUGUUUAAUCAGACAUAAAAUUUAUGUUUCUCUUUUUAUUUAUUUCCAUUUCAUUCUCUUCUCUUCCUUUCCUCUCAUUUCCUUUUUUUUUUUAAAACCAAACAUGCAAUCAGGUAUAUUUGGUUGCAUGAUGAAUAUGGGAUUGGAUUUUUUUUAUCCAAUUCCUUUUAUUUUUCGUAGUUUUUCUUUUUCUUUUGCAAUGCUUUUUUAAAAAGGAAGUAAGAAUUAUUAUAUUAGUAAUAUUUUUCUCCUAUUUUGGUUUAUUUGUAUUUAUUUAAAGUUAACAAAUAAUUUUUCUUCUGUCAAAAGUGCAUAUUUGUGUUUAGUAGCAGGCAUGAUUUAUUAGAAUUUCUGAGUAUAUCAUAUCAAAAUAUGUUAUGUUUUGACUAAUGGUAGGAACAUAUUUAAUUUACUUGAAAUGUGUUAGGAAUUUAUUUGGCACAAAUUGAUAUAAACUUCUUGCAUGAGCAAUUGUAAGAGUUGAGGGAGUUCGAUGUUAUUAUCCCCCCAUCUCAAUGAUAUAUCCGCGAAGCGCCAAACAGUGUGGUCCGUGUGGAUAUAUAUGAUUUUGUCCGCGAAGGACGAACUGCUGAGUCAGUCCUUAAUUAGCGGGCCCUUGAGGAUGCGAAAACGACUUCGUAUUGAUUAGGACAAAAUCAAAUAAAGUAAAAGUGUUCUUUUUUUUUUAAUUUAAUAAAGUAAUUUAUUCUUGGAAUAGUAAGUGGUGUCGCGGUGUCGCCCCAGUGCUGUCCAGGAAUGAAAGACAGGAUCACCGUUCAAUCCAAUGGGAGCUAAUCAUGACCGUCGAUGCAGGUCCUACGACAUGUAUCAUAGAACGAUUGUACCCUUGAUCAUCAAUCAGACGGGAAUCUGAAUAAUUGUGAUUGCCUACAAAGUGAUUGAACAGGCUUUUCAGUCUUUAGGCAUUUUAAAGUGACCAAUUUUAGCGAUGGCAAUGGGCGGAGGGGAGAGAUCCACAUAUAUUCUGUCUAUUCGAAUAAUAAAAAGAGAUGUUUGAGACUGCUUGCUUAUAUUAUCAACACAAAAAUUGUAACAUAAUCUAAAUUAAUUAAAAACAUUUCCAACAAACUAAGUUAAUGUCGUCGACAUGAUAAGAUAAUUUAUGACAUUAUCCGAGUCUUUAUAUUAUCUCUUAUUUUAUAUUUUUUUUAAAUAUUAUGAUAUUUGGUAUUUACAUCACAAUGUAAAUUUUAUGUGUAUUCGCCAUAAAUUUUAGAAAAUAUAAAUUUAAAAAGUAACGAAAACGGGAAUUUCAUUUAUUUCUCGUUCGUUCUCUGAAUAAAAUAUUGUGCAUCAAAUUGUCAUCAUUUUUUUCUUAAAUAAGGAAUUAAAUAUAAAAUUAUUUUCAUAUCCUUUCCAAUUGAGAAAAUUUUCUCAUUUUCCUAUUUCUUUAAAACUUUCAGCCAUUUUAUGGUGACCGUCAAAUAUCACUAAAAAAGAAAGUAACCUUUAGAUAGAAUAGAGCCUGAGUUGCAUUUAAAUGAAAUUUUUUUUUCUAAAUUUAAUUUUACUUGUUUAACUUAAUCAAUGAAACUUGUUUUCAAGGCAAUUAAUGAUUUAAUCCACGUGCUUUCAAUUUUGCAUUUUUUUUUUUAUUUUGAUUGCUUGGCACGUUGUUGGUGUUGUUUCCUCACGAUACACCAUACACGUUUCAAAUUAUAAGCACUACCGGAACCUAAUUGUUUUUUGACUCGUGCUGAUCAUCAUGCAAAAUUCAACUUUCAACAACCAUUAUUUGAAAACUCGCAUAUUGAUAGUAGUGCUUCAAUUGUUCAUGAAUGUUUUUGAGUAAUUUAUAAUCAUGAAAUAUCCAUAAUGGGUGAAAUUAAAUUUACCAUGCUUCCAUUCAAAUGGCAAUAAGUGCUCAAUUUGAGCAUAAAGUAGUCACACGAGACAUAAAUACUUCAUUUACAUAUGCAUAAUCUAUAGUAUGGUAUGAAUAAUUCAUUUACAUAUGUUUAAUUAAUAGCAUGGUAGUACUUAUUGCAAUGUGCAAUAAAUGUUCUGUGUUGCAUUCUUCAUUAGAGGUUGGUGAAACCAGACCUGGAAUCAGAAUCGAAUUGUAAGUUUUUUUUUUUUUUUUUACCACGAGGUAUCAUGGGAGGACCCCAACUGUAAAAGAUACUUUUAAGUAUGUACCACAACCCAGAUUAGAAGUUUCCGCUCGAACCGAGAGGCACAAAUUCUCCCAACAAAACCCGUAUCAAUCAGUUUGGUUCUUAUUAUUAUUAUUAUUAUUAUUUUCUUUUGGUUUUUUUUACCAUUUCAAAAUUGAACUCGAAUUGCACCAAUCCAAUUGAUUGAAAAAUUCUUAAAACAUUUUUAGAGUCUUUAAAUUCAAUUAUGAUAAUAUUAAUUUUUUUCCUGACAAUUAAUUUAAAUAAAAGUGUUUAAAAUGUACAUAUAAAAAUAUAAAUUAAAACAAAAUCGAUUGUACCAUGUGAUAUGAUAAAAUGCGAUGACUGGUCGUGUUUUAUAUAAAUAUAUAAAAUCUCAUGAUUUUGGAAUGUUAGACCGAAAAACAAAAAAAUGAUGGAUGAUUCAAAUCUCCGAAUCCAAUAAUCGAGGAUUGGUUCCACACGCGCUCUGGAGGCGGGUGAACAAUCGUCUCCCUCGUAUGCAAAAUUUUACUAUGAGUACGCUGACCGAACACAACGGUCAGAAAAGAGUUAAACACAGGGUUCUGCCUAGGCCAGGUGGAUAUUCGCAGCAAUCACGCUGAUCUGACGGCGGAGAUCAUCCUUGAACAUGCUGUUAUCAUUAACUGGCCCACAGUUCAAUUAGAUUAACGGUGAAGAUGAUUUUGCCGUGAAUGCAGAUCGUCCGCGUGGUGAACAUGUGAUCAUUCUGUUUCAUCCGGGUUGGGUCCCCGUUUCCAGAUGCUGACAUCAUCUUGCUUUUCUGAGACGGAAGAAGUGUCUGCUGUUGGAGAGGGUCCCCGACAAUUAGUGCACCUCUUUCGGAGAUAGCGGUGCGGAAACUUGGACUCUUGGAGGGGGGAAAAGAAAAAAAAAAUACCAAAAGCUAUAUCAGCUUACACAAACUGCUCUCGUUGAGAGUCGAACUCAAGACCUCCCGCUUACUAAACGGGUGCUCUAACCAACUGAGCUACGAGAGCUUCCGGUUAAUGGUUCAUUAAAUAAAUAAUAUUCUCUUGCCCUUUAAUGUGUCAUUUUGGGCCAAUCAAGCACUCAAGCUGGCAGGGCUAGCGCAAAUUCAGGCCUUUGGGUCACUCACAAAGAUAGCACCACCCCGUAAGUUUUUGGCGCUUCAUAUUUUAGCUCUAGCUAAUCUUGAAUCAGCACAAAGUCUUUUCGCAUGAAACCUGAUUCUGCCACCAAUACAUUCUUAUCAAGAAAACCAAUUUAGAGGCCUAAUCAAUAGAAAAUACAAUAGUAAAUGUCUCACCUGGAUUAUGUGAUGCCUGUCAUUCAUGACCGCGGUGGUUAAAACAGCCCAAAGUUGCUGCGAAGAACAUGAACCUAGUAAUUACAUCUGGGUGCUUUGUUUUUCCCUCUUGGUGAAUAGAAGAAACUGAUUUGGGGUGAUUGAAGUGAAAUCUAUGAAAAAAAGGGGGGGGAAAAAAAACAAUCAUUAGAAUCACUGCCCUUGAAAAUCAUUACUAGAAUGGAUAUCAACGAACUGCAGUACCAAAAUUCUUUGAAGAGAUUACACAUAAUACCAGGAAGAAUUUUGGGCACAUUUGAUGUGCAUCAUGUUCUCUCAUGGGUUGGGUGCCAAACUGCACUCAUUGUCUUCAAUCCCUUAUUUCACUUCUAUCAAUUCGAUACUAUUUUUUUUUUCUCUUUUUCACUCGACAAUUCAAUUGUUCUUAAUAAUUAUGUUAAUUAUUAGGAUUUAACAAUCAUGCUUUUCUUAUUGGCUCUAGGCUGUACCCAUGUUUGUAGUCCUUUGGCCGUAUUGAUAAAUUCUUAAUUUGCAUGUAAAAUAGCUAGAGAAAUGAAUCCUUAUCCGUUAUAAAUUACAGUUCAUACUUCAUAUCAUAUCCGAUAAGUACAUCACCAAGCUUAACCUAUUAUUUAAAAAAAAAAUUAAAAAAAAAAUAUUAUUAUGGUGAUGAGUCAUUUAUGGUCAUUAGGUAUGUCAUAUAUGUUUAAAAUCACGUCUUUUUCAAUAUCUUGAUUUUACAUUUUCAGAAAGUAAGAUUAUAUCUUAAUGAUGCGUCAAUUAAUUUCAUAAUACGAGUUAUGUCAUGUGUCAUAUUCAUGAUAUAAUUUGAUACAAUCGUGAUUGAUACAAACUUUUUUGGUUCAUGUCAAUUUUUUGUCAUAGAAUUUUUCAUCAUGCCUAAAGUACAAUAAUGUCCGGUAUUCAUAUUUAAAUAUGUAUAUAAUUUAAGUUCUCUUAAGAAUGGGUAACAUCGAGUUUGCUUCAGAAUUUCUGAAUAAAUCUAUUGGAGUGAACAUAACAAGCUAAACUAACUAAAUUAAUUUCAGGUUGAUUUUUUUUUUUAAAUUUGUUGUUCAAUUUGAUUCUGUAUCUUUUUGCAUAGGCCUAUUCUCUCUUGACAAAUUCAUAUCAACCCAAUGUAAAGGAUAUAACUUAAGGCUUAUUCGUGUAGAUUCAUUAAUAUUUUAAAUGAAUUCGCAUCUAAACACAUGUUAAUUAACCUUUCUCUGGACAUGUUACUUAGACUAAUCAUUACAUUUAUUGUGGUGCUAUAAAACGAUUUCGAGGCAUCUAAAUACAUAGAAAAGUCUCAAUAAUUCAUCUUCCUCAGAAGAUGCUUUGUCCUCCAAUUAGCAAACAAGGGGCAUAAUUAUUAUUAUCACAAAUUAGAAGAUUAACUUAACUUACAUCAGUGCCCUAGAAAAAUGCAAAAGAAGGUAACAAGAAGGAGAAAAAGCACUUUUGAUUGGAGUUAUUAACCACAAAAUGGAAGCAAAAAAAGCACUUUCUAGCAGCUUGUUCUGGUUAAUUAUAAAUAAUUACUUGGCCCUGUCCAUAAUCACAUCAAAUCCCAUCUCAGUUGGGUCAGUUGCUUGGACUUCGUAGUGGAUGCCAUCAAGCACUCUUCUAAGCCCAUCUUUUGAAGUUGCAUAAAGCAUUUUUGCUCUGAUUCUCGACGCUGUCGGGGCCCUGUUCAUUAUAAAAAUAAAAUAAAUUAAAUUAAAUUGACAUGAUUUCUUAGCCAACUGAUUUGAUGCGGAAACUAAUUGACGGCUGCGAUUUACUUUUUAUAAUGAUUAAAAAUUUGGUGGGGUCGAUUGAUGAUUCUUCACUAUGCUUCUGAAUCUGAAAUCACCAAACUUGAUAUUUUACCUAUUUCAGGAAUUGAGGAUGCCUCAGUAGUUUGUAAUCUCAUCAUUUGCGACCAUUUUGGCCUUGUAGCAUAUGUGAAAGUAUUUUCAGAAAAAAAUAAAAUAAAAUGUAUUUAUAUUUAUUUUGUAAAACUUGACUGUAAACUUGAAACUGCUUUAUACAAAAUCACUCUAAAAAAAGCGUUUGUGCAAAAGUGCUUUUCGGCAAAAGCAACUCCGCAAAAGGGAUGGCAAUAAAUCCUAGAAAAAGCAUUCAAUCUUAAAAAAGGAAAAAGAAAAAGAAAGAAAGAAAAAAAAAAAAAAGGAUUGCUACUGCUUCCUUAUGCUUUAAGAAACGUUUUGAACUUAUCUGAAAUUGUUUUUGACAGCAGCGAAAGCACUUAAAAUGAUACCCUUUAUAACAAGUAGCAAAAAAUGUACGUAAAAUAACAACUAUUCUAAGAUCAAAGAGCAUCUAAUAUGAUAUGUGGUACCAAGAGAACAAAAAAUGAGAACGAACCAUGCAAUGAAGAAGAUCUUGCUCUUCCGGCAAUUAUCAACGGUGACAAAGUCGAAAUCAAACACGGCGUAUCGGCAAUCAUCGUCCGGCAAGGACGCCGCGAGGUCUUCGUAUCCUUCGCCGGCGCCGCCGACCUUAUCGACGGUGACCAGUUUGGAUUUCUCAUCAAUCUUGAACACUAUGUACCUGUGCACUUUCUUCCAUUUCAUCUCCAUGAAUGAGUUCUUGCACUCAUCGGCCACCCACAUUCCCGUUGUUGCCUGAAACAAAAAACAACCCGAAAACAGAAUCAUGAAUUUGAUCCCAAACUUGAAUGGCAAGGUUAGAAGCAUUAAAAGGAAACUUAAAUCACAAAACUACCAUCUUGAAAGCCAUAGCCAUUGUUGCUGAAAUCUUUUUGUUUCUCAGUUGUUAUUAUAAUUGAAGCUUGGUUUGCAAAUGAUAGCGUGGCAUUUGGUCUCAUAUAAAGAUGUGGAGUGUUUAAAGGCCACUGAAGUUUAUUAAUAUUACAAGAUUGGCCCUACUAGAUCUAUGUUGUGCAUUACUAUUAUUAUAUUAUCAUUAGGAACAAUUAACUUUUUUUAAGGCAAAAAAUACAGUAUUCUUGUUUAUUUGAGUGAAAUCUACAAUUAAGAUAAUUACAAAGGGGAAAGAAAUGAGUUGGCAUUAUAAAUGUGCAUGUAAAUUUUGAAUACCUACUUGGUUACAUCACUUUACUGCAUUAAAUUUAUUGCUAUAAUAAGUAAUCUUUGUUAUAGUAUUUGAUGCUUUAUAUGUCUCUAUCCAACAACAUUCCAACUUUGUAAUUACAGUAGCACAUACAUUACAUAAACUUUUAUCGGUUAUGACUAUACACAUAUUCAAUACUCAAUUACUCACAUCCUAUUUAAGUAAUUAACCAGGAGUUGUUAACUUUCUUUGGUUACACUCUUGCUAAUGUUAAUUACUCUCUAUACCCAAGUAGCAAUCUUAUCCCAAUUACCCAUCCUUUUCCAAAUCAUUUCCUCAUCGAUUUUACGAUUUUGUCAAAUGAUGCAUGUAUUUAUUCUACUCAUUACAAAAUUUAUAAUAUAAACUCGUACAUUUGAAGGGUCAGUUGACUUUGUUGUAAUGAAGAAAUAAUUAGUUAUAAAAAAAAAGGUACUGAGUGUUAAUGGUUAGGGAUUAAAAAAGUGAUUUAUCAACUAAUGUGCAGUUACCUACGAGUUCACUAUUAAUAAACUUAUUUUAACACAAAGGUAAAAUUUAGAAUAGCAUGUCCAGGAACAUUCCCUAUGCAGAAAAUACGAUGGUCCCAUCUCGGAUCACACACUUACAUCCCCAUCUCUCUAUUUUUCUGUUCCUUGAAAGAGUCUUUGCUUGAAAGCAAAGUAAAAGAAGAAGAUAAGCACUUGUAUGAGACAUCAAAACAGAAGAUGGGUUAAAGGCCAAAGAAUAAUAUACAUAAAAUGUAUACAGUUAAAAGCUUUUCUUGGUAUAGAUGAGUCAAUGCAUCUACACCAAUCGCAUUUACUUGUACAGGUUCUGUGGCCGACUUGGUUAAUAUCAAUUCUUUGUAUAUAAUUUUCAAGACUCCAUAUCCCCAUGCUUGAGUUUUCCCACAAGUUUGUCUAAGCAUAUCUGAUAACAAUCCCAUAAAAUAUAAUUCCACGUGGAUUUAGCUAAUGUUGGAGAUAAGUGUGUGCGAGAAAGUACAAGCACUAAAAUCUAGCCAAAUUUGGAAGCACGAGAAGAAAUAUACGUGUAAAGCGUGACAUGUCCCUCAAGUGGGUGGGUCUCCUUAGCUGAAAACACGACCCAUCUCUAUGAGGCCGACGUGGAGUUUUUAGAAUUGAAGCCUCUAAUUCUCACCGGGUGUUUGUGAUUGUGGCCAAGGAAUGUGAAUAGAAUUAGAUUUGUUUUGGUGGGUUUUGCCAGUUAGUUCUCAACUUCUUGUUAAUGGAAGUUACGUAUUCGGUGGUGCAGCUUAAUCAUCUUAAAGCAAAAUGCGAAAAUCAUAUCUGGGGUUGUUUGAUUUGUAGCCUAUCAUGAGAAACACAAUGGUCCAACAUUAGUAGCUAGCCUUCUUGGGAUUUGUUCACGUUGCUACCCGUGCCUGAAUCAAAUCAUCGACCUAUUAUGGAAAAUGCAGAGGUGAAAGAAAUUUAGCCUAGCCUACCCUAUUACUUAAUAGAGGGCAGAUAUACAAUACAACGCAUAAGAGCCAAAACUUAGGGGGUCAAGAAAGAACGGGGGAAAAUUUUGAGAAUUAAAAUGGAAAAGGUUAUACCAUCCAAUAGUGGAUUGCACUCUCUCUUUGACAAGACCGCAGAACCGGCUUGUGACUAGCACAUUUCGCCAAACAAACUCUUAAUUAUUACACAUAAUUGAGCUCGUUGAUCGAUUACCGCAUUAGCCCUUUUUUUUGUUUUGUUUGCUUCACUCGUCUCUCAUGUGUCAAGCCUGAAUUCUUCAGCUUCAGCCAGAAACUAACUUAUGACAGAGAGAGAGAGCAAUGAAAAUAUGAAAUUACUGGUGACAACUGCCCAUGAUUUUGAGCUAAAAAAAUUUGGAUUAAUUUCAGCUUACCAUCCUCAUAAAUUAACUAUAUUUAAAUCACUCCCUUAUUUUUAAAAACUUUAAAUUAUCCUUAUAACAAAAAAAAAAAGAGGUGAAUUGGCAAACUAUUUUUGCCUUCUUAAAAAGAGGGAAUCAACUGAGAUGAUGAUGAUGAUGAUGAUGAUGAUGAUGAUAAUAAUAAUUUUAAAAUAACCAAUUCACAAAAUGAUAAAUCAAGAUUACCAAAAUUUUUGUAGCUGCUGGCAUUCAGCCGACCCAGUGCUAAUCAAAUCAAUUAUCAAAUAAUCACCUCAGAAACGUAAAGUGAGUCGUGGAGUUUAGGUCAUUAAACCCAUCUGUUACUAUUUUCUUUAAAAGCGAAGAUAAGGCAUAACGCCGAUAUAGUCAUGGAAUUCAAACCUUCGAGACCUGCAAAUGUACUUUAGAACAGAAAGCAACAAUAUUUUUCAUCAAGGUUCAACUGGAACCUCCCGAGGUUCCUUUUACAUCUCUUCUUGUUUUGACCACUCGAGAAACAUGAGAGUUUCCUGGAUACAAAGCAACUAAGUAGCAGGAAGAGCUGGAUUCUGAAGUUAAAGCCUUGGCUUGAAGAUUCAGCAGUAUCACUAAUGCCAACUUCACUUAUCAUCCUUUGGGGGUUCAUCUUCUUUCUUCUUCUGUUCAGAUGACUAAAAUUUAAAUAUGAAAGAAAGGAAUAAGUACCCAGACGCAACAUGAAUUAUGGAUAACUGGUAAUUUGGUAAAAAGCACUAAAACAGAAAAUACACACAUGUACACACUAAAUCAACUCGUCCUUGCAAGUUUAAGUAUAGAGGUUUCAAGGACACACCUCAGGUUGACCUUGAAGAGAUGCAAUCAGAUCUUUCACCGAUGGAUCAUUUGGGUCAACUCCUGGAAGCUGCAAAACCAAUAACACGUCAGGACAUAUUCAUAUGCCACAGUUUGCUGCAUGAAGUUCAUCAACAUAGAUGAAAGUACACUUACUGAUGUAAGGAUGGAUGACACAAAUGACUGAUCCCCUAGCACCUUGCUCAUAUCUGAUUGGUUUGAUGGAUCUUUUGUAUCAUCUUGCAUGGACAUUUGGAGAGCUGCGAGCAAUAAAAUAAAGGGAUGGAUUAAUACAUAUAAUUAAUAUAAAUUUAGAAUUUUGGAAGCUUUUGAGAAAUCAGACAGUCAUGCACAAGUUUGACAAUAAUCUCAAACAUGACAUGCCAGUUCGCAAGGUCUGCAGAAUUCUUUGAAGUCAAUCUCAUGAUGACUAGGGUGAUACAUAUAAUGAGAGCUUAAGAUAGGAGUUCCAACAGCAAGACAAGAAAGCCACUACCAAAGCCGUGCAAUUACAAAAUAAAGGUUGUAUGUGUAUGGGUAAGCUUUUGUUCAAGGAACAUGAUUCAUCCAAUCCCAUUAUUUGGCGAUUUAAGAGUUAUGCAUAUUAGUUAAGAGUUCAGAAAUCCAAAGCAAACCAAGCACAAAACAUUACCAUACAGACAUACAAGUUGCCCCACACUAACUGCUUGUAAACUAAAAUUAUCCAAAACCUUGAAUUCCUCAUCUUAAAAUUUCCAAGACAGACAGGAGUACAAAUAAACCAAAUACCCGCAAAGAUUGAGAGAACCUAAUUUAGGGAUGUUUUUUAGAUCCACAAGGGCUGGACUUCAAAAUAGGUGAUUGAAGUUUGAACCCACAUACAAGUGUCAAGUGUCAAGUUGAAUGCAUAGGCGAUGACAACAACAAAGCAACACAAAUAAUUACACAGCCACUAGUAAAUCAAAAAGCCCCAAUAGAAGUAGACAUACCCAAGGCCAACUCCUUAUCCUCAUCAGUCGCUUUUGACGUAUCAGCAUCAGCCAUGGAAGUAUCAGAUACAGAAGUACCCAUGGACAUUGCAAAAGCCCUCUCUAGCAAAGAUUUCUCUUCAUCCUGUCACAACAGUGUUCAGAACAGAUCUCAAAUGAAAGGGUUGUUCAUGCUAUAUAAUUUUUUUUUUAAAUGUUAACGCCUGGAAUUAAGAAUAAAUAACACACAAAAUACAAGUGCAAAAGUGACACUAACCAUUGGAUCAGCAGUUUUCUCAGUUGUUUCUGCUGCUGUAUUGUUAGUAUUGUCAGUCAUCGUUGCAUCCUGUGAGUUGGAUAAUGGCUCCUCCUCUUUCCCUUGUCUGGAAGCUUCAUCAGCAGCCCUUUUGGCAGCAGCUUCUUGCCUUGCUCUCUCCUCUUCCAUGGAAACCCUAAGGGCAAGAGCCAGUUCAGGGUCAAUGUUGGGGUCCACACCAAAAUCGAAGUCAGAAACUCCACCAGCUGCAGCUGCCGCUGCUGCUGCAGCAAAGCCACUUCCUCCUUCACCAUCAGCAGUGAAUACAGGUGAGCUGCCAGAGGAAUGGAAAAGCAUGUAAGUUGAUAUAUACACUAAUAAAGUAGAGGAGUUUGAUAGGAUCCACCUUAUUUUUCAAACAACGAUAUGUUACAUCACUUUUGUCAUAGCUCAAUAUGGUAAUAAUCCAUCUUUUGAGCUUUCUAUUAUUAAAAGCAAAAUUUUUCCAGACCACUGAUUUUAUAAAUAUUGUUGUUUCCCCACUUAAAUUUUAUACUAGCUCAUUUGUUAUUUAGUAAUUAAUUCAGACUUUAACUUUCUAGUUAUUUGAAAUAAUACUAGUCAAUUUCUACAUUUUGCCCCAUAAAUGGAACUGAGGCCGCAAGGAAAAUGGGAAAAUGUCAUACCUUAUAAGUACAUCAGAAAGAGCAUUUGGACCAGUAGGAACAUGAACUAGAUGACUACUAUCAUUGUUAUUAACUGCAGCAAGAAGUGCUUCCAAUUUCUCUGGCUUCCCAUCAUCAUCUUCACCAAAAUUAACAAUAUCAAUAGCCACACUGUUCUUCUUCAAUUUCUUCCCAAUCAUCUCCAUUACCUUCCUAUCAUACUUAACAGGACUGCAAACACGGGGCAAAAAAGAAAGUCAAAUGUCAAUAAGCAUGAACAAGCAAGUAAAAGAGCCAGCAAAGCAUACCUUCCAGCAAAAACUAUAAUCCUUUGACGCUGGUUUUUGUUCUGCCGAUGCUUAAGAGCCAACUGAGCAACCUGGAUUCCUGCCGCUAUGUUCAUCUCACCCCCAAUAUCAAGUUCUGCACCAUAAAGAAGAAAUGAGGAGAAAAAUUUUAAUAUCAAACACCUAAGAAAAGAUGAGAGAAUGGUCAUAAUACUCAAUCCAUUAAACGGAAAGUGCAUGCAAAUUGAAGUUGCUUAUAUCUACUAAUGGCGGCAAUGCUUCAGAAAAAAGUGAAAAACUGCUAGACCUAGAAUUAAAUUUCACAUUCCUUCUUUGAUAAGCACAGAAGGAAACAUCAAGCACUUGCCUUAAAAGCUAAACCCCCAGUUCAUAUAGGUUAUAGUUUAUACCCAUAAAUUGUUUUGAGACAGAAUGCAUAUAACUCUAAAUUUUCAAUCAACAAACCCAAAAAAUUGUGACGAAAAUCCUAACCACAUAGUUCAAGGUCAAAGAUUUGUUUGUCACUUUGUUUAGCAUUCAAAACCCUCGUAGACAUUAGACCCAAAGACAAACUCCUGCUAAACCAAAUUUUUCUGAUUUCUAAUUUCUACCAUUACCGAACAUACAUAAACAGCACAGCACAACCUAGUUGUAAGAACCCAAUUAUGAGCUCACAUGAAAUAAACUCAUCAAAAACUCGAUCACAAUGAAUGAAUAAACAAAUAAAAAAACAUACCAUGCAUGCAAGCUAAAAUUUUCCCAAGAUCAGUUGUAGGAGUAGUCAAAACACGAACCCCUUUGCCACCCAUCGUCAAUAUCCCCACGGUAUUCUCCGGGUUCGACUAUUAAAAAUGGAACCACAAAAAAUAAUAAUAUUAAUAAUAAAUAAAUAUCCCAUCGUCAAUAUCCCCAAUUUUUCUUAACAAAAGGAAAAAUCCACAAGAGAUAGUAACAUAAUAAUGAAUUUUACUUGUGUUUUGGCUCCACAAAUAAGACUAACGGCGUCGGCUUGAGCUCGUAAUCGUGACGGAGAGUAAUCGCCGUUUCGCAUCCAUUCCGAAUUGUCAAUGCAUAUCAUAGUCGCCUGAUUUUAUUUCAAAUUUGAAAACAAUUGGAUCAAAUUUUAGAAAAAUUAAUUGAAUAAAAAGUUAAUUAAAGACGAAACCCACCUCGAGAACCAUGGCUUUGAUUGAAUUUUUUAGUACGAGAAGACGAGAGUAUGCAGAAGAGCUUUGAAUCGAUUUUUUAUGUUCAGUUUGGGUUUUGUGAGCUGCUUUGCUUGCGGCAGGGGCUUUGUUGAGUUUGGGGAUUUAAAAAGAGGUCCUUUAUUUUUAGUUUAUUUGUAUUUUUCUCCCAAGAAGCCUAAAAGCAUUUUUAUUAUUAUUUUUUUCAAUUAAGCCGAAAUCCGAAAGAAGAGAUAAAUGAAAACACACAUCCUAACAGAGAAAUUAAUGAUAAAUAGUGAAUAUAAAAUAAGUUAUAAAGUUAAAUAUUUUAAAUUUUAUGCCUAAAUGAUAUGAUAAAGGAUACUCAAAAUUAACAUAUUUCUACAGAGAAAUUAUUUAGAUAGUAUCAUUCCCAUGAAUUUGGCUUAACAAUUUUCGAUCAACUUGAUAAUUAGUCAUCGUAGUUCAAAUUUUGAAAAAGAGAAUUAUAAUUAUUAUCUUUAUUUAAAUUUAUUUUAUUAUUAUACAUGUUUUAUUGACGUGUUUUUUUUUUUUUUUGACUUUUCAUUUGAUAUUAUUUUCAUUUGGUUUCAAAAUCAUACACUUGAACGUUUUAUCCAAUUAAAUUAUAAAUCAUUUGCAACUUAAACGAAUUCAAUAAUCAAUAUACACUUCAAUCACAAGCGAGGUUGGGUAACCAUGCAAACAUAAACCUAUCUGAAGCAAACAACCCGUGUAAAUAUGCACGGCAUAAACCUGCUUCAAAAACUCUGCAUUCUCCGGACACUAGAAGUAGCCUGAAAAUUUUAGCUCUUUAUUGAAAAAAGCCUGGGAAGAAAAGUUUACUGUCCGACAACAGAAGGUAUGCACAAUUUGCCAACUGCCCCGCGGUUCUAACUUAUUGUACACAGAACAACAGAUUAAUAACAACAAAUAGUUCCGAGGUCAAGGAAAUUCAAGAUGGAUAUUUAUACACCGAGAGCUGCGGGAGCAUACGUCCGUCUGUGGUUCCUGCUGAUAGGUAAGUGAACAUAAACCUCGUGCACCUCUGGUUUGUAGACCUCCCCUCUGUCUCUGUCAAUGGCAUAACAGACAUAAACAGUUUCUAUUACAUUGUCCAACACAUGGACAAAGUAACCCAGCACAAAGAUCAGCAGCACAAAUGCUAGGGCAGCCACCAGGUAUGAGUAGAUCCCGAGAUCUCUCACUCCCUUUAAGAUAGCACAGACCUGCUCAUGCAUAUUCAAAGUCAGGUAAAAUGGGAAAACAAACACAAUGUUUAACGCAAAAUGCAGCAAGAACUAGCUUAUGGCAUUAUGGCAAAAUGCAUCAGGGCAAGAGGUACCUAAUCUCAAGAGGCUGAUAUCAAAGCAUGCAUAAUUCCAAUAUAAUAUGCUAGACAGAAUUAGCCAGCCUGACAACAUUCUCACAAGCUAGACCAAAAUCAUCAGCAAUGCAUAUAGAGUAUGACUAAAAACCACCACCACAAAUGAAAUCUUGUGAAGCAUUGAACCUAUACAGAUAUCUCAUGAAAUUAUGGUGUAACAUUUAAUUAUAAAAAAAGACAUUUAAUAACCAAUUACUAGACAAAAAUGAUUGGGUAGAUAAAACCUGUUCGAUGUAUUUUUCAUGGAUAAAUGUAGCAGGCCGAAAAUAGACAGAGAUAAGGGCGGAAGGGCUUUUUCUUUUUUUUAUCAACUUCAACCAAUUCUAUUUCUGUUAUAUGGCCCAAUCCGUCCUAUAGAUAUCGAUUUGAAUAGGUAUCUAAGGGUGCCGCCAAUAACUCCGGAAUACGAAUUCCUUUAUUCUCCAUCCAAAAUUAAGAUGAGCAUUGUCAUACAAUUGGAAAAGAAGAGCCACAUACUUCAGCCCUCCUGCAAGGAUUCCUAUCACCUAGGGAUGAAAAUCUAUUUUUGACAACAGAUUAUAUAAGAAUUGAAAUAACAGAGAAAUGAAUAAUCUGCUCACCGCAAUUGUGUAUACAGCUGAAAUGACGAAGAUUAUUCCAGCUAACAAUCUAGUAGAGACAGUCUCCACAAAGACAGCAGAGAGAAGAUUACGCUUUAGAAGCUCAUAUGUCAUCCUUGCAGACGAGCAGUACGCUUCACCAGUUAUUGCCGCAAAGUUGAUAGUGAACUUGUUAAGAAAAUCUACAGCUGACAGUAAUGCAUUAACACAACACCGCAGGAUAAGGUUCACAAAUCCAGGAACAUCUUCUUGUCUUGCACUAUCAACAGCAGCACGAACUAUACGCACCAUACAUAUAAGUAGUCCAGACAGGCAAAUACUGCCAGAGGAGGGACCAAAGGCGUUCCUGCAAGUUUUCACAACAAUAAGAUGAGAGGGAUUCAACGUGUAUAUGUGAUAACCAUCAAAGUUGCUGCAAUUAAGAUGCUUCUAAACAAAAUGAUGACAUGGAACAACUGAGGGAGCGGCAAAAUCCAUAAAAAAAUAAUAAUAAUAAUAAGAGAACAAAAAAAUAAUAAAGAACUACAACUAAAUAUCAUCAUUGAUUCAAGUAAUAUUUUGCAUGACCAAUAUAGGAAACCCUUAAAUUUACUAUUUAACCAAAGAGCUAGCAGGAUGUAACCAAGUUCAAAUAUGUGUAAAAAGUAAAAGAGAGAGGUAAUAACAAAUCUUACUCUUUGAAUGCUACCCCAUCCAAAUGUAUAGCAGCUGAAAAUUGAAAUCUAAGUCUAUUCUUCUAUUGCAAAUCUAAGUUUAUAUACUGGUACAGAAUAAGCAUAAAGCUGACUCACAAUCCCUCUGUACCUAAUUUCUUCAAUUUAGUUUAGGGUUAGACUAUUUUAACUUCAAUUCUUUACUUAAAAUUUUGACACAAAUUUUGAGCCAUUGAUUUCAAGCAAUUCAAUGGUAGAUAUUGAAAAUCAAAGUAGAAUUUAAAGAUUGUUAUUCAUCCACCAUCGGAUUGGUUGAGCCCAAUGGUUCAAAAUUUGUGCCAUAAAAUUUAAAUUAAAAUAGCCUGAUCCUCAGUUUAUUGUUAUCCAAUGCCACAUACUGCCUGUCUCUAUGUAGUAUUUAAACUUCAUUAUCUUCAGGCAUGCAUUUAAUUUCUUUAUUGUCAAAUGUCAUAGAACAUAUAAAAUGAUACAGGAAAUGAUUCAAAUGUAUUUAUUAUUGCAUCCAGAAUGCAUGUGAAACAAAAUUUAAAUCUGCUUCAUGCAACCAAAAAAACGAAUUAUUAUAACAUCUAUCCAAACAUUAAAUCUGCAACACCAUGCCAUAGAGUUAAUUGCCUAGAUUAUUCAAUACAUCUAUUUAUUUGAUCAUUAACUCUAAGAGCAGUUGCUACAAAUUUAAGAGAAUGACAAUAAGCUAGUACAAUGAAUCAGGAAAUUAUUCAAAUCUAUUCAUUAUUGCAUCCAGAAUGCAUGUGAAAAACAAUUUGAAUCUUAUUCAUGCAAUCUAAAAAUGAAUUAUUAUAACAUCUAUCCAAACAUUAAAUCUGCAACACCAUGCCAUAGAGUUAAUUGCCCACAUCUAUUUAUUUGACCAUUAAAUUUAAGAGCAAUUGCUGCAAAUUUAAAAGAAUGACAAUAAGCUACAUUUAAACCAGAUAAACUCAACCAAGUUGAAUAGUGAUAAAAAAAUCAGGAAUUACCUCAAAGAACUUCUUAUACUCCACUUAGGUUUUGUAUCCUCCUUCGAAAAAUACCACUGUGCAAUAGUCCCACUAAUAACAUAAGCCUUUGCUUCCACCAUUGAAGUCAAAGACCACAACAUGGUUAGAAUUGCCAGUGCAAAGUACGCAGGCUGCUGUACGGCCAAGGCGGAUGUACGGUACAGCAGACCUAUUAUUUAAAAAAAAAAUUAAAAAAAAAAUAUUAUUAUGGUGAUGAGUCAUUUAUGGUCAUUAGGUAUGUCAUAUAUGUUUAAAAUCACGUCUUUUUCAAUAUCUUGAUUUUACAUUUUCAGAAAGUAAGAUUAUAUCUUAAUGAUGCGUCAAUUAAUUUCAUAAUACGAGUUAUGUCAUGUGUCAUAUUCAUGAUAUAAUUUGAUACAAUCGUGAUUGAUACAAACUUUUUUGGUUCAUGUCAAUUUUUUGUCAUAGAAUUUUUCAUCAUGCCUAAAGUACAAUAAUGUCCGGUAUUCAUAUUUAAAUAUGUAUAUAAUUUAAGUUCUCUUAAGAAUGGGUAACAUCGAGUUUGCUUCAGAAUUUCUGAAUAAAUCUAUUGGAGUGAACAUAACAAGCUAAACUAACUAAAUUAAUUUCAGGUUGAUUUUUUUUUUUAAAUUUGUUGUUCAAUUUGAUUCUGUAUCUUUUUGCAUAGGCCUAUUCUCUCUUGACAAAUUCAUAUCAACCCAAUGUAAAGGAUAUAACUUAAGGCUUAUUCGUGUAGAUUCAUUAAUAUUUUAAAUGAAUUCGCAUCUAAACACAUGUUGGAGAAGAUGAUGACUCGUAGAAACACACGAGCUUGUUGGGGUCUUCUUCGCUGCUGCCCAUUUGAGGGAGAAGCUAAUAAGCUAGAAGCUAGAAGCUGGAAGCUGGAAGCUGGAAGCCGAAAGCAGAAGCAGAAGCUAGAAAGUGGAAGUGAUUUUCUCUUCGUGGAUUUUGAUGAGGAGAAGAUACGUCUGUGUUCUUCGUCUUGAGUUGGAACCUGGAAGUGGUGAGUGGCAGGUGUCCGUCUAAUUUUCGUCCAUUUUAUUUUCGACAAACAUUCUUUUGUCGUUUCACACAAGGCCAUUGAUAUUUGGGGUAAUUAUUUAUUAAAUUUGAAAUCUUUGUAAUUAACAAAAUUAUAAUUUAAUUGUUUUCUCUUUUCACUUACAUUUGUAAUUAGAAAUUUAUAGCAGCUUUAGAUAUCCUUCUAAAUAGCUAGACGAGAUUCAACUUCUGCUAAACAUAUGCGGAAGACACAAAUUCGAAAAAUGAUUUAACAUCUAGCUACAAGAUGGUUCUCAAAUUUAAUUGGUUUUAAUUUAAGAGAUUAAUAUUAAAAAACCAUUAAGUGAAAAGCAUUCAUAAGAUCCGAGUUUAGGUUAUAUGCUUUUACUUCGGAAUGUUUAGAGAUAAGGCCAAACCUUAGUGUAAAACAAAAAAUUAG
RNAcentral lists this long non-coding RNA (50747 nucleotides) under Citrus sinensis (sweet orange). RNAcentral's name for it is "long non-coding RNA (CSIN_LNC003304)". The record is from RNAcentral. Lineage: Eukaryota; Viridiplantae; Streptophyta; Magnoliopsida; Sapindales; Rutaceae.